AACUAAUAGAAAUAAUGGCCUAUAUACCCCUUAAAAUUUCAAAAAUAUUUUAUAUAUCAUUUUUUUUUAAUAUACUCCUUGUAUGUUUCUCUGUUAUUCCAAAAUAUCUCUAUAAUUAUCACCCGUUAACUUAACUUGAAUUAAAUGUGAGUUAAAUAUCUAUUAGAAUUUUAAAAAAUCAAAAAUUUUCUUUUGCUCUUAGCUUAAGAGCAAAUAAGAAAUAUUGGUAAUGGUAGAAGGAUAUAUUUGAAAAUACUAAAAAUCAAAAUACUUUUUGUACGCCUAACUUAAAAGCAAAUAAGAAAAGUCAAUGGUGGAAGGGUAUAUUUGAAAGGGCAAAAUAGUAAUUCAUACAUAUACCAGCUAUUGCCAACCGUUCAUUAAUAGAAUUUAACUUUAGGGGUAUGUUUGAAAUAUGUUGGAACGUAAAAAAAAGUACUUUAAAUAUUAACCUUUUAAGAGGGGUAAAUCAAAAAUUUGAAAACUUUUCAGUGGUGUAUAAAUAAUUGCUCCUAACUAAUGUCCUUCAAAACUUUGUAAUGUGGGCCGUGUGUUGGGCCGGCACGGCCCACAUUUUUUGUGCUAAUUCGCGAGAUUUCAAAUUCGGGUCGGGCCGUGCCGGGUUGGAGCUACCAACUCUCUAGCCUAGCAUGGCUCUUCGGCCCGAAAUGCCCGAGCCGUGCCGGACUAGGCCGUGCUCUGGGCCGGCCCCUUAAAAAUAAACAAAUAAUUUUUUUUAUUUAAAAAUUUAAAAUUUAUAAAAAUAAUUAUAAUAUAACAAAUAUUUAAUUUUUUUAAAAAAUAUAUAUAUAAUUUUUUUUUUGAAAAAAAAUUGGAGAGCGUUUUUGAUCCAAUGGACCAAAAUUGUUUGGUCCAUUGGACCAAAAACGUCUUCCCACGGUUUGCCACAGCAGACCUCGACCCUUCGCCCCAGGAGAUCCAACAGCCUUGGGCCUUGGGGUUCGGGCCGUGCUGGCCCGGAUGGCACGGCCUAAGCGGGUCGUGCCAUGCCAGGCCACGGACUUCCCUUCGGCCCGGCACUGCCUAGGCCCGUAUUGGGCCGUGCCGGGUCAGACCGUCGGCCCGGAGAAGCUUGGGCCAGUAUGGCCCAUAGAGCCGGCCCGGCCUGACAUAAUGCUACAGUAGCUGUGCCGGGCCAUGGGCCCGCAGUCGUGCCGGGUCGGGUGGCCCGUUUACGCCCAUAUAAGAUUUUAGAAGAAUAUUUUGAAUAUUGAGGGAUAAAUUUAAAAAUUUUUAAUAGUAAUAACAGGCGUAAAAGUAAAAGAUUAUAUAGCUCAAUGAGUGAUAACAAUAGAAUAAAAGACAAAAGAAGAGUCGAAAAAUUUAUGCUACAUAUAUGUUAUAUGCCCUAGGGUAUGUUUGCUCCAUCAUAAGUGGAGGUGGCGAAAUUAUUUUCAAUAGUAAAUGUCUAUGUCUGCUUCUAUUAUUUAGUUUGUCGAAAAUUAAAUACUCUUAUAUCUUUAAUUUCUCAAAACAUUGUAAUUAACCUCGCCAAGUCGGAUGACAAAGCCAUUAUCUGAAAAAAAAAAAAAAGAAGAUAAAAAUGUAAAUAUUAUAAUUAUUUUUUAAAAAAAUUUAGUAGAAUAAACAAAAAUAAGAAUAACUAUAGUUUCAAAGUUAUUGAUUAUUGUAAAUUCAGGAAAUUAUAGGCAAGGACUAAAAUGAAAGUAUUUUAUAUGCACAGCAAAUUAGCAAUUUUUAACAUCGAACCUCAAAGUUUGAGGACCAAAUAGAAAUUGGAUCCAAGUUCGGAUACUAGUGGUGCAAUUUACACCCUAAAGAGGAAGAGAAAACCUCGUCCUUCGUUUUCACCACCACUCCCUUCUCUCUCUCUCUUUCUCUCUCUCUCCUCUUUUCCUCGCUCAAAUGGUCUCCGAUCCCCGAGGUCGACGACGAUGAGGCGAAGCUUCGCCGCGCCCUCUCCUCCCCUUCGUACAGCUAUGAAUCAUGUGAGAGCCGCGCUCCUCGGCGCCCGCGCCGCGCCGCCGCAGCCGCCGCUUUUUGCCGCCGCGGCGCUCUUCCACUCGACUCCGGUGUUGGAGCGGAAGAGGAGGACCCAAUGGCACUACGUGAGUUCGAUUCCAACUUGUUCUUCUCUUUCCUUUUUCAUCUACUUGCUGUCUCGUCGCUCUUCGUUUUGGUCCUCCAAGUGUUCGAUGAAUUGCGUGUGAGAAUAGGCUCUCGAGUGGGAAAAUUUUAGGGCAUUUAUGGAUUCAAAGAAUGGUUUUGUUUGCUUGAAUGUAGAAUUUGUUGUUGAGAUGUGGGAAAAGCUUGCUCUUUGAUAGGAGUUCAUUGUAAAGCUUCCUAACUUUCUUAAUUUUGCAUUGUUUAUUUGGGGUUUGGCUCAUUAUGAAGCAAAAAAGUUAACACAUAUGGCAAACUUGGGGUUCUAUGCUUUAUUUUGAAUUAGGACUUUUGCCUUUCAUAUCUGAGAUAUGGCUUCCAAGGCUUAUUGUAUUUUGUUGAUUAUUCUUAGUGCAUGUGAUUGUUCUGUGUCGAAGAGAAACAAACAUUUGAUCACUUGCCAUUAUUUUUAACAGAGAUUCAACUACUAUGCAAAACGAAGGAGAAAUAAAGAAUCAAAAACGACGUUGCUACGAAAUAUCUCCGAUUAUGCUGAAUACCUUUUUCAGGUUUGUGUGGAAUCUUGUAGACUUUUGAAUCAUUCACAAGUUUCUUUCAAUACUUCACUAUCCUUUCAACCCUAUACAAAAGCUAUUUACUAUCUUAUGUGUGGAUUUUUGGUUUUAGGUUUUGUAGUUGUUUAUAAAAAUUUGUCAAUUUUCUUUUUUCUAAUUGUUAAGUUGUGCUGUAGCUGAAGUGCUGAACCCAUAUUGCUGGGAAGGGCUGAUGAAAUUUUGUCAAUUGGAGAUGUAAUAGAAGUGUUUAAAAUUUGUUUGCUAGCAUAAAUGAUUCAAGUAUGAGAUCCAUGCAGAUCAAUACAUUCAAUGGCGGUGUUUGACUGUAACGCAAAGGAGGUCGUACCUUGUGAAUUCCCUUUAUCAAGUAUACAUCAAACUUUACCUCAUUCUAUCAUUCAGCAUUAUCUAGUUUGACCAACCGAUUUUCCGAGAAUAUUAAGUUUCCGUCUGGAAGACUAGUGCUUCCAGAAGUGAGUCAAGUGACAUAAGUACAUACUUCCCUCAACCUAGCUCCUGUACGCUACUUACUGUGUAGUAUAUAUAUUAUAGAUUAAGGAUGAUCAAUUGGUUUCUAUAGGCGAGGAAACAAUAAUGGGAAUGUUGUUUCUAUUCAAAAUAAUAAGAGUACCUUUGAUAUACGUUAUUUUCUGAAAAAUGUGAUAUAUCAUUGGUCGUAUGCAUGUCGUUUCUGUAUAUCCUAAUUGGUCUGAGUCUUGUCCUGUCACGUAUCCCUAGUCUGUAUAUGUGUAAUCUAGGUUGAAAGUCCUACCUUCAGACUGAGAGAACUGAGACUGAUUGGGCUACUAUAACAACCUUUUUAUGGUCAUUGAAGGUUGAAAAUAUGGGCUUAGUAUUUUCUUUGUUAGAGGUGAUGCAAGCAAAAUUAGUUAAUUAAUUCGGAUUCGGCAAAAAUUCAGUACGGGUAUAAUUUGAAUAAAAUUCGUAUCUCAAUUUUUAAAUUCGUUGAAAAAUAUGGCUUGAAAAAUGAGUUCGCCAAUUAUUCGGAUACACCAUUUAUAUGGAAAUUAUACGUUCACCAAUUAAAAUUCGGGAUAAAAAAUUCAGCUAUUAAACUAAGAUUUUUUCUCUAGAUUUAUGCUACUAGCAUACAUUGCUAUAAAUUCUUAAGAAUAUAAAAAUAGAGAGUUAAGAAAUAAAGUAGAUUAAGUAAAAAAAGCAAUAGAAAAGUUUAUUGCCAUCUCCAUCUUCAUCUUUUUCAUGAUCCACAUAUUCCGGAAGUUCAUGAAGUUUUUCAAUAAUUCGUGAAUAAUUCGGGAAUAAUUCGGAAAGUGAUUUUAUCCAAAAAUUUUAUGCGUUUUUUCGACUGAAUAGUUCGGCAUACGCGAAUUAUUCGCGAAUAAUAAAUCUAACCCAAAAAUUUGCGUUUUAUUCUGAUUUUUUGGGAAUAAAUCGCAUACGGACUGUUUUAUUCGGAUUUUCAAUAAUUCGCAAAUAAUUUGCGAAUUAACUAAUUAUGAGCAAAAGUAAUUGCAAUAAUUUUUCUUCAAUUGAUGAAAUUUGCUUUUAAAUGUUGAGUGUUUGUUCUUAGAAUUGGUUUUCCAAUUUGCAUUUAUAGUUGUCGACUCAAUAUAGAAGGUAGUUUUUUAUAUGUCUUUGCAUAUCAUAUAUUCUAUGACAAUUGAAACUAGAACAAGCUAUGUGACAAAAUGAAAGGUAACAUGGUUGUUACUUGUUAGGUUCUCUUUAUGCAUUUAGAGAUCCUUUUGGGCAACUUAGUUGUCUUAUUUGGUAAGAUCCCCGAACUGUAGUUUUUUAUUUCUUGCUAUCCAGUGUGCAUUUUUUGUGAUUUUAGUGUUGCUAAUCAUUGUAGUUAUAAUUUUAACUCUUUUCUCAUUCAUGUUUCCUAUAUUUACUAUUUCUGCUGAAAUCUCAGAGCUGGAGAGAUGAAGAAGAACAUAAUGAAUCUCAUGGCCCUUCAUGGUUUAGAGGACACUAUUGGGUUAGGGGAACAAAUAAAAAUGGCCUUCAUUCAAACAAAGGAAACUAUGGAAAUAAUGGUAAAUUAUUCAUGAUUCAUUUUUACACUUCUCUAUUAUUGACUUAAUAGGAAAAAAGAGAUGGCACCAGUUCAUACGAACUUUUGAAUUUAUUAGACUGUUUUUCUUUUCUUUUACUUUAUUUUCUAGAAAGGUGUGUUAGUCCUAUGUUGUGGACAUUAUUGUGAGAUAGCUAUUCGGUGAUAAUUACAAAUGUAGUUAAAGACUUCAUUUCAAUUUUGUAUUCAUAAUAUUCAUUUGUUAAAUUUGGAACUUGGCAGAUGAAAUUAUAAUUAGGGUCGAAUUUCAGGGACUUAAUCGUUAAAACUGAGACUUUUGAGUCCUAAAUAGAUAUCAAAUUAAACUUAAGGGAAUAAUUGAAACUCUUAAGGACAAAAUUGAAAUCUGGAUCAGACUUUAGGGAUUAAAUUUCUAAUCAACCCUACAAAUUUAUUUUGAGGAUGAAACUCAUGUAUAACUGGCAAAUUAUUCCUGCUUCUUUCUGUAGGAAAAAUAAGACUUGAGUUUUGUUCAAGUGAUGAUGAUGAUGAUAGUGAUGUUGAGACCAUCUUUCGUUCUACGUUUGGAGGCCAGCGAUACUCUUAUUGGUCUUUUGAUAGUUCUGAAAAUUUUGGAUGGAGGAGCUCUUCUAACCGUGCUUAUCACGAAAGCUCCUCUAGGGAUUGGAGAUAUGAAACAGAUGAAGAAACCGAUGCUUCCACUCACUCUGAGUUAGCUUCUGCUCGGCAAGCUCUUGGAAUGAGUGUUUGUGGUCCCCUAAAAUUGGAGGAUGUUAAAAGCGCGUAAGUUCUCUGACCACUAUUGGUACCACAAGGAAGCUGGUGCUACUGCUUGGAUGAACAUUGGAAUUUACUAGCACUCAAGAUUGUUGGAAUGUUGGUGUGCUUUGAAUUUUAAAGCACAUGCCCAAGAAUCUUGAUUGACUUCUGGCUGUUGAAAAGGCAAAAGCACCGGCCUUCCGGUUCUAUCACAGUAUUCAAUCUCAAUUUUUUCUCUUUAUACUCUCACAUGUCCUUUCAAAAGCUGAAUUUUGCGUAUGCUUUUGAAAGUAUUUCUUAUUUUAAUUUGUGGCAUGAACGAAGUUAGUUUUAUUAGAGAAAUUUUUUUUUCACUUAUGCAUAUGUUGUAAGUACAAAAGGUGUGUAUGUGGGAAUUAAGUUUUUGAAAACCAUCUCUCUCUAUCUUUCUCUCUCGUUAUAUAUAUAUAUAUAUAGAAUGAAACUAGAAUACUUUUGAUAGUAAAAACAAAUAAUGUUUACUAUCUGCCUUUUAGCCCUUGGAUGCCUAGGGUUUAGUGGUGGUAGUAGGUGGAAUAGUAUUGAUCCAAGGGCUAGAAAGCAGAUAGUAAACAUUAUUCAUUUUCUUUUAGUACAUUCUAGGUGAACUCUCUCUCUCUCUCUCUCUCUCUCUCUCUCUCUCUCUCUAUAUAUAUAUAUAUAUAUAUAUAUAUAUAAAUUCAGAUUUUGUGGGAUUACAUUUGUUAAUCGAUAUAUUUUAUGGGCCUGUAUAUGUAGAUUUAUCUUGUUAUCCUUAUAAUCGUGAUUCUUCUUGCUUUUUGAUUUUUGCUUAUCAUAUGGUAUGAUUGUGAUUUAAAUGCUUACUUUCAUUAUGGACUGGUGAUAUCUUUUAGUUUGACUUUUUAUUUUACCAGAUAUCGAGCUUGUGCUCUAAAAUGGCAUCCGGAUCGUCACAAUGGUUCAUCAAAGGUGAGCCUGGAUAUAUGUGCUUUCAUUUUUUCCCUCCUAUUUUGACCUAAACAAAAAAUUGUUAGUUCUAAGCUUGGUAGAGGAUGAGGGUUGGCGUUUAAGUUGCAUGGUACAUUUAACUUAUGAAAAUUAUUCCACACGUCAUAUUCAUAAUGAGUUAGUGAUUCCAUAACUAAUACUAUACCUAUACGAGAGUUUUUAGGACCAAGAAAGGCAUUUGAAGAAUGCUUAAUUGUUUGAAGUGAAGUUUCUGGAUUUGUUGAGUUGGUUAUCUGACUUUCUGGUGUCAUGUGACUCAUGCUAUUGGGCCCAUUUUGAUAAUGUUGUGGCUAAAAGCACUAUUUUUAUACUAUGGAAGACCUGAGAAAUCCAAAAGCGCUAUCAAUGUUUCUUUCUCUAAUGCUUUAAAAUUGCGAUUGCAACUGCCACUGGAGAAGCAUGUGGUGCUUCUCUACAUGCUUCUCUGGUGGUAGUUGUGACUGCAAUUUCAUAGUGUAAAUAAAGGGAAGAUUGAAAACACUUUUAAAAUUUUUGGGCCUUUCAUAGUGUAAAAAUGAUGCUUUUAGCCACCAUAUUACCAAAUUAGGCUUAGUAUGAUUUCAUGAAUAAUUAGUAGGAAAAUAGAACGAGAAGUCCACCCUCCACAUAAAGAGAGGUAGCAGAUAUUAUAUGCUCUAUGCAAAGGGCUUCUGAGAAUCGACAUUAAGGAGGCAUAUGGAUAUGUAAGCUUAAACAUUAAAGCAUUAUUACCAGCCUAAUAGAUGAAAGAGGGAGCAGUCUUUUUGAGACCUAUAACUUUAUGAUGCUUUUGAAUUUUUGCUGUAUGUAAAAAAUGAAACUGAUUUAUCUUAUUCAUCAGAAGGCUUACGGUCAAUAUUUAGAGAGUAUUUUCUGUUUUGAAAUUUAUGAUUUAUCUUGACAUAUAUUACUUUGCGUGCAAUAUAAUUUGAACCAAAAAGUUUGUGCUAUUUAGUUCUCAUUCUUUUGAUAUUGGAGCUUGUAGUGCAAUUUAAGUAUUAUUUAUGCAUGGACAGGUGGCAGCUGAGGAGAAAUUCAAGCAUUGCAGUGCAGCUUACAAGACACUAUGUGAUAGGUUAGCUACAAGUUAAGAUAAAAGGUUUUAAAACAUUGAAACCCAUUUCGGAUAUCAUUCUUAUGCAAGGGAGGGAAAUAAUCUGCGAAAUUGGAUAUGAUGGAGAGCGCUGCACCGACAUCUAUUUCCUCGUCAGUUUUUUAUUGUAACAAAGAAUAAGUUAUCCACAAAAUCUUCAAGUAGAGAGGGAUUUCCUCUUGCGGUAAAUUUAGCGUACCAUUUGAAAUGAUGUUUUUAGAUAUUAUUGUUACUUAAAAGCUAGAUUAAAGGCAUAUAAGCUACGUUCCAAUCUGUGUUGAGACUUGGUGCUUUUGUUCAGUCAUUUGUAUCUAGAGCUGCUGGUUUAAGAGUACAUGAUUAAACUUGUCACGGAAAUGUGUUGCAACCGGAUAAUGAAAGAGACUGUAGCAUUCUUAUAUGUGCAGUUUCGCAAAGAGACUCAUAUCUGGUAUAUAGAGAAUUGCAUUUACUGAAUUUCUUGUUUGAAGCUUCGUGAAGUUUUGGUAAAAUAGAAUCAGUCAUGGAAAUUUUGGCUUUAUUGUGUAUCAUGUGUGAUCUAGUUUGUUGUGGAGAUUCUCUAGAAAAGUAGGUACAAGAAUUUGCAAUAUGUUGUUGGGUUUCCUCUACUACAUAAAAUUCUCACUAUACUGAAGCUAGCGAAAAGGGUAAUCUCUUGAUUUUGUUGUUGUUGUUGAAGAAUAAAGCUACUACAUUUAGAGCUUGUUUGGUUCAAUGGUGGAAUUGGAAUGGAUAAUGAAAUGGGAAUGAAUUGGAAUGGUAAUUGGAAUGGCCCACUCCCCCAAGACGUUUGGUUUAUUUGUGGAUUCGGAGUUGGAAUGAGUUAUUCAAAUUUUAUUGUUUGGUUCGUGUAAACUAAAAAAAUUAUAGGAUGCUAUAAUACUAAUUUUACUCUCAAAUAUAAAUUUAUAUUAUUUAAAAUUUAUGAAAAAUAUAAUACUAUUCUCUAAUAAGUUUUUCAAAAAAAAUAUCAAAUUUAUUUUUAAAAACUUUUAUUGAUGUGAGUUAGGGAUAGGGUUUUGAGAGAGGAUAGGUUUUUUUUUUUUUUGAUGAGAAAGGGAUGAAAAGAAGGAGGGUGAAAUGGUCACAUGGGUUUCGAGAACUUAGUGGGCUUUCAGAAUAAAACCUCAAUCCGGACUAGAAGACCAUAAUCAAGUUGAAGCUAAUGGGCCAUUCCCAUUCCAGUCCGGAAUAGGAAUCCCCAACCGAUUCAUGCGAACUAAACAAAAUUAACCGAAUUUGAUCAAAUCGAUUCCCAUUCCAUACCCAAAAUGGAUGAACCAAACAAGCCCUCACAGUGAAACGCCUUUCAUGCGGAAAUCCAAAUGGCACACAAUUGCUUACAGUGAAAAGGUCUGCCAAUCUGUUUGUUUUAUGAUUUUCAGCAUUAGAUUUUUUAGAUUGCACAUCAACCUACUAAUUCAAGCUUCACUUUGGAUCACUCAAAUAAGGCCACAUUUUGAAGUGCCUCAUGAUUUUCUCUUCUAACAGGGAUGAGUUAUUUUACAGCAACAAAAUUCUAGUAACCUACCCUUUAAUCCUUGGACAUAUGGUACUCCUUCAAUAAAUAUAUUUUCAAUUUUUCGUAUCGAUGCGCAAAUGAACAAGUGUGCCCAUGUCACCUCUGGUAACUCUGAUCUUGUUGUCAAUAUACCUGCAGGAAGAUGAAAGCAUCACUAAUAAACUUCUGGCACAAGUUAUUUUCCAUAAUGCAAACAAUUUUGUUUAUGAGACAACACAAUUAAUCAAAAAUAAACGACAUGAUAAGAGCUUUUCGGAGUUGCAUAUCGCAGAUACAACUUAACAAAAAUUGAAUCCAUUUAGGAAUUCAACAUGGAUCAGAUUCAAAUGUGGCUAUUAGUAAUUCCUUUUUGUCGUUCUUUGAAUAUUUUUAUGGCAAUUGGAUAGCUUACACAAUUUCCAUGUCGAAUUUCUUUUCGGCAUUUAAGGGGAGCUUCAGUGCACCAAGCUGAGCCGAUCCUUCAUUCAUUGUUACACUGUAGGUGUUUCUAUCAGAUCCUUUGCUGCAAAUAAAGCAAAAGAUUAAUCCAAUAUAACAAUCCGUAUUUUUACAUGGAUGAACAUCAGAGGCUAAAAUAUGAUGAGUUCAAAACCAAAUUCAAGUUCCAUGAUACCUGUUCUAAAAUCAAAUUAGACAACGUGAUGUGAUUUAUGAGUUAUAUAGAAUUUAACAAAGUGCCUAUUUAAAGCCUUAGGGCCUCUUUGGUCCAGCUAGAGCUUCUGCAAAAGUGUUAUUUCAGUAGAGUUGAUUUAAGAAGCAUUAUAAUUUUUCGUUACAGCCUUCUCAGUAGCAUCUUGUUGUGGCAAAAAGAAAAGCUUUAAAUUGGAAAUUUUGUUUUCCUGCUCAAGUUCUUGUUUUAGCUUCUAAUCAAAGUAAAAGCUCCAACACAUUUUGCUAGGUUCUUUCAUCAAAAGCUACUAGUUGUUGCAGUGAAGAAACUAUUCCAGAAGCCAAGCGAAACAUGAACUUUUUGUCUGCAAACUAAAUUUUCACAAAGCCAGUAGUCUUAUCAACAUAUAUCACACUGCAAUGGUCCUUAGCGCACACACAUAGACCUUUUACUAGAUCCUUGACAUUGGAGUAAAAAGUAUGAAAACAAUUAAAAGAUCAGUGAGGAAAGAAAAUGGAUAAAAAAUAGUUCUUAAAACAGCAUAAACUCACAUCAGAGUGCCACUUGCUCUAACAGUUAGACCCAGAACAGGAAUUACUACAUUCUCUAGCUUCCCAUCUUCCUUUAUUAUCUGCAAGGAAACAUCAGGCUGCAUAAGAAUUGACAUAAACACAUUGAGUAUAUGGAGGCUUAGUUUCCUUUAUUAGAAAGUAUUUUGCUUUUGAAACUUGUUUUGCAACUAACCUGCAAGCCCUUGAGACCAUUGGCAGCAAUCGAUGACCAACUUUCAUCUUCUGACUGAACGCAAAAAUUUUGAAAUGAUAUCAGUAACGAUUACGGUGAAAUAGUUAGAUAGCCUUUUGAUGAGUUACUGGAAUCUGAGUUAAUUGAUAGAUAAAUUGCAUUUAAUUUGAUAUAUCAAUAUGUGGUCCGGCUAAUGCUGGGGAAUUUAGAACUAUUAUCGUCAAACUCAAAUUUAAAUAAAUUCCUUCAAAAGUGAAUGAUCAAUUGUAGGGACACUGAGAACAACAAAACCAAAAUUGAUCCUUUAAAUACUCAAAUUAUCGGCAGUGAGUCUUCUUCUACGUGUAUCUAUACAUCGAUGCAUGAGUGCGUGCAUGCAUUCCAAUAGUCAUUUACAUAUGUUUCUAUAGAUAGAUAAAUAUAUGCAAAGCAUAUGCAAAAAGUUGCUUGGUUGUUCAAAAUUUAACCUGUGAAGCCCACAACAAUUGCCACUCUCCCUCGAGAGUUCCCAAGUGACCUCCUUCAAUCUCCUUUUUAUUUAAAGCAAUGAGUUCAUCUAUAACCUGUUUAGCAUACCAAUUAGAUCAUAACUAUAUGAACCAUAAUUUACCGAACUUAUGCGCGUGUACAAAUUGUUCACGCCGUUAGGUCACACCUCUUCAACUCCUGUCCCAGAAGAUAUGGCUGAUAGUAACCUUUGUCUUGGUUCGGUUUUCUUUUGUAGCACAAAUGUUGUUCCCUGCACUAUAUAUUAUUCAAUAAAGAAGAGAAAUAAAAGUAUGAGUAGCUCACAAAAAAAAUGCAUGAAUAGAUAUUUCAUACAUAGUCCUGCAAAGUUACCUACAUAUGCUCUUGAAUGACUUAAUUCUUGCAUAUAUAUAUAUAUAUAUAUAUAUAUGUAUGCGUGCAUUUACCAAAUAGUUAAACAGUUGGAUCACUCCCGAACAUACGGGUGUGUGUGUAAAAAUUGAACUUCUGACAGGCGUAUACAUAGGGCCAAAUUCUAAAAGAUGAUUUUGCUGGGAUACAUGCAUGUAAAAGUUCCAAGUAAAAAUAACAAAGUUGAAUAGGUGUUUUGUGCUAAAGAGAUAGAUGUAAGUACAUGAGGAUGUAUGAAGAUUAAAACAAUUGGACAAAUAUGAUAAAAGUAUUACCUUAUUCCCUCUUGAAAUUCGCAUGUUUCCGGUAUGAGAUAAGUAAGUCGUGUCCAGCCACCCCUUUGCUUCAUCUCCGAGAAGCCUAAAGGGCACCGGAUACGGAACCUUGAAAGGCAAAAAUUUGAAGGAGAAUGCUGCACGGUCGAAUCGGAAUAGGAUGCGCUUCCCAUCUUCUACUGUUGCUGCUGCCUUGGCGUAAAUUCGAAAAAAAAAAUCAUUUUAAGUCGCAAGAAAUCUAAGGGGAAACAGAAGCCAAAUUGAAGUUAGCAUAUCACUCGUGUGUCUUCGUGUUGUCUAGGAUGGGAUAAUACACAUUAGUAGCUUUAUCACUUUGUUGAACAAAUAAUAAUCGUCAGAGAAACAAAUGCCGACGCUGAACCUCAUUUAUAAAGAAUCAUGUAGUCUUUUUAGUAUCAAAAAUACUGAGCAACACUGUUCAUCUUUCAUGCAAAGGGUAAAGCUUAUGCGAAUUAUCUUAGACCAGUUUGCAAGAAAAAGUACUCAUCAUGUGAAAUCCAAAAUCUAUGAAUGAAGUCUUAAUUAGAUUAGCUACAUAUAUAAAGGAAGAGCAACUGAAGGAACAUAUGGAAUUCACGAAGAUGAGUAUAUGUAACUACACAUUCAGAAGAAACUUGGUAUAACAGUUCGUAGUAAAUGCUUCUGGUUUCUUUUUUUUUUUAGCCCCUUUUGAUGCAAAAUAACUACCUCUACUUUAAGUUCGCCAAUUGCAUCUGAGAACAUGACGAUGUUGGACACCCUUGGAUCAUCUGUUCUAAGGUAGACCUCCUGAAAGAUCUUGAAAAAAUCAACUCCAACGAAUGUCCUCUGCAAAAUAUACGAAAUGUGAAGUGAAAGAAAUCAUAGUUUCAAAUAGUGAAAGAAAGGGAAAAUAGAGAAUAAAUAAGGUUUAAAUGAAGGUAUAUUAUCGCACAAGUUCACUCUGAUAGAUUUACCAAAAGGUAGGGUAAUAACUUCAGAUAAAAAUCACGCAGAACUUCAUGCUUCGGAACUAAAUAUUUCCCUGAAAAGUGGCAGGGAUUUUAUCUUUACGGAGGGCAAAUUCGAAACUUUCAAUGAUGAAAGUCUUUUGAUCAAUCAAUCAAUCAUAUUUUGGGAACCACUGACAAGAAUAAGUGAAGAAAACUUGUCUAAUCAGAAAUUUUGCUUCAUUGCGAUGGUCGAGCACAGUGGUUAAUUGAACAGUGUCAUAUGUUUAUUGCAAAGCAUGCAUGCUUUAUAAUGUUUCCUUACCUGAAUUGGAGAUGCAGUUCCAGGUCUUGUAGUGAAAAUGAGCUGCCAGCAACCCUCAAUCAAGCUGGAACUUGUCUGCACAAAAAAGAUUCAUAGAUAUCUUUUAACUGCAAAUUCUGUAACUAGGACUAUGACAGUAUGAGUGUAUCAAUAAAACAUCUACUAAUGCAUGCAAAGAAGCAUAUGAGUGAAUCUGUUCUAAGUCAAAAGUACUAAACUAUUGAAAAAAGUUACUUGAAUCGAAAAUUCCCAGAAAAGAUAUGAAUUGAAGAACAACACUAGUCCUUGGUAGAUCAAAAUGACUAAUCAGCUUUAUAUCAUUUAGAUCAUUGCCCAUAAUUUUAGUACCCUUUUAAAUGUAGAAAUGAUGAUAAAAAUGAAGGCUCAUUAAUUUACCCUAAGUUAUAAUAAGAUUAAUAAUGUAUAUGGAACUCACUGGAUCAGGCACACCUUUCAGAGUUUCUAGGGUUUGCACAGCACGCUCGACCUCCUGUAAAAAUGUACACAGCGUUAGAUCCGAACUGUUACUCAAAAGUUGGUCUGAUAAAGAAAAUGACUCAGAAAUAGUCUUUUAUCAUUGAGCACUGAAUUUGAUAAAGCUAUUACGUAAUAACGGAAAUCGUGAAACCUGGGCCUACUCUAUGGACCGACGCAGAGAAAAAAACAGCCUCUCUGUAAAUGGAGAAAUUUGGCGCAAUUCCCCCGAACUUCUAAAUUAGACAUCCGAACGACAUUCGGGUGAGUUCUACAGUUAGAGGGAAAAAAUUGUUGUGUGCACUCAAUGCAUCCGUGCAACUACGAAGCACAAAAUUCCCCGAUCCUCACCUGUUUUAUUUUGUAUUUGUAAAGCCUUAAUAGUCUCAUAUCGAAUGAAAAAAUGAUUCUGAUUAUAUUAUAAGAAAUCUCGCACUCUAGUAAUAAUAACUGAACCUUGGAUUAUUAUUAUUAUUAUUAUUAUUAUUAUUAGCGGGUUGGAUCGUUAUAUUUUCAAUCCAACCAUCUGAUUUCGAUCCCCGGAAUAUAAAGAGGAGAGAGUGCCUGGAGCUGCUGCGGAGAGGCGGCGCGGCCUCGGCCUUGGAUUCCGAGAAGGGCCUCGAUGAGUGCGGCCUCGGGAUCGGUGAAGGAGAUCUCCUCCUGCUGCUGCUGCUGCUGCUGCUGCGCUCGCUCAGUGAGCGAGGAUGAGAUCGGGCCGAUCGAUCGGCAGAGAGGAGGCGGCGGCGGCGGCGGCUUCUUCCGGCCCAAUCUCCAGAAGAGGCGGCCGCGCGGGGCAGAAGGCAUAGGGGUUGAGAGGCAGCAGGCGGCGGCGGCGGCCGACGGCAGCGGCGGAAGCAGGGGAGGAGGAGGGUGAUGAAGGCGGAGGGAGAGAUUCGCGGCUCUGCCUGCGGCUGCCAUGAGGAGGACGACGAUGAAGGAGGAGGAGCCGGCGGAGUUUGCCUCUUCUUGUGUAACAAAGCGCGCGAAACGCUUGGAUUGGCUGAGAAACUGACACGUGGACGCAGAAUCUGAAGGCCGUUAUCUUUUGCCCGAAGAAAUUAAAAAGUUGCUCUUUUCCAACACAAAAAAAAAGUAAAAAAAAAAAAAAAAAAAAAAAACACACACACACACACGCACACAACAAGCUUUAGAUGAACAAUAGUAACACUCUUUUAGUCAACAGUAUAGAUAAUUACGGACUGUUUCUUACGUAAGCAACAAAGGGCUUAGUUGCUGGAGUAGGACUACUGUGCUAUAAGGAGUACAACAGUCCUUAUACUUUUAACUUUUUAAUUAUCUAUUAAGUUUGAUCGGUGGUUAGAAUGAGAGAGUGAGAAGAUAUUGAAGAGAAAUUCAAGAAAAAGAAAAAUUGAAACACUCAAUUUCUCUCCAAUACCUCCUUCCUCUCUCAUUCUAACCACCCAUUAAAUUUGAUGGGUGGUUAGAAAAUUAGGAGCACAAGGACUGCUGUGUUUCUAAUAGCACAAUAGCCCUGCUCUAGUUAUUGAUACCUAAGAUUUUCAAGUUCGAAAUAUUCUACUAUAUUUUCAAUAAAGUUUUUUUAAAUAAAAUAAACGAAGCGGGAAGCUUGCUAUCUAUCUCUUAAAAAAUAGUGUAGAUAAGUUUUUUUAAAAAUUUUUAGCAUUAAAAAGAGAUAUAUAUAUAUAUAUAUAUAUAGAGAGAGAGAGAGAGAGAGAGAGAGAGAGAGAGAGAGAGAGAGAGUGAGGCUACUAUGUUAUCGGAAGUAUGGAGCCUUCCGUACUUCCAGCUCGUUUUCGAUGUUGCGACUUUCGAAUCGUCGAUCGGCUCCGUUAAACUUGAUCUAGAGUAUUUGGAGUACCUAGAAAAUAAAUUUUAUUAUUUUUCGAUAUCAUUUGCCUAGUGAUCGAAUGGGCUCAAAAUCAACAAAUUUCAAUGGCCGUAGUGAGCCGUUUGCAAGUUUAACGGUGUAGAAAUAUCCAAAUCACGUGAAAUUUUGAUAGAAAAUUCUUUAUACUAUAUAAAACAAGAUCAAUAUCUUUGAUUUAAAAUUUUAAUGUCAUAUUAUUACAUUUUGUAAGAUUUUUAUUUUCAGCCGUUGAUUUUGAGCCCCUUCGUUCACUAGGCAAAUGAUAUCGUAAAAUCAUAAAAUUUAUUUUCUAGGUACUUCAAAUACUCUAGAUCAAGUUUAACGGAGCCGAUCGACGAUUCGAAAGUCGCAACAUCGAAAACGAGCUGGAAGCACGGAAGGCUCCGUGCUUCCGAUAGCAUAGUAGCCUCACUCUAUAUAUAUAUAUAUAUAUAUAUAUAUAUAUAUAUAUAUAUACAUAUAUAUAUAUAUAUAUAUAUAUAUACAUACAUAUAUAUAUAUAUAUACAUAUAUAUAUAUAUAUAUAUAUAUAUAUAUAUAUAUAUAGAGUAUAUAUUGUACAAUAUAUAAUUAAAUAGUGCAAAAUUAAAAAAAUAUUAUAGACUAUAUAUUAUAUUAUUUGACACAUGUUGUACUAUUUUUAUAAUCUGUUGCACCAAUCAAAUUACACCACAUAUAGUCAAAUAAUAUAAUAUUUUUAUUUUUUUUAAUAAAAAAAUUAAAAAAUAGAAAAAUACAAGGAGGAGGAGGAUUUUGACAUUCUUUUCCUUUCCCUUCUCCUCCUCCAGUUUUUGGCACCCUGCCGCGUCGAACUGCGUUGCUACUCACGCCCUUACAUACCUUAGCUAUCCGAGCCACGUUUGAGUCCUCGCCGUCAUCGUCGGUGGCAGCGGAGAUGUGGUCGAAGUAUGGGGAGUGUAUGAGUGGUCGAGGAGGAGGAGGAGGAGGAGGAGGAGGAGGGAGAAGAAGCGGGAGGAGCAAAAAAGAAAAUGAAGACAGAAUAUGACUAUUUUAGUCAUUUUUUAAAAAAAAUUCGAUCUAUAUUGUAAAAUCGAAAAAUAUGGCACAGAAACACAAAGCCGUUAAACUCUGUAAAUGAAAAAACCUUGAAACAAAAAAACUUUUUAACUGACUGUCCUUAGAGCAAGUGGUAAAAGACUUGAUGGUUGGUAUUCGAGAUUCCAAGUUCGAAUCCUAAUUGAUUCACAUUUCUAGCUAAGUUUAUUUUUAAAUGAAAUAAACGAAACGGGUAGCGUGCUACCUGUCUCUCAAAAAAAAAAAAAAAAAGUUUGUUUUAAAAAAGAAAAUUAAAUUUUUAUAGGAGUUUUAUUAAUUUGAUAUGACUUGGUUUAGUAAAUCUAGUUUCACCUACGAAAGAUAAAGACGUUUUAUUUUUUUUAAUUUUUUAUUUAGUUACUACAAUCCUAGAAUCAUAAUUUAUUUAUAAAAAAUUAAAACUAAAAAUAGUGAGCAAUUAUUUUACUUGUACAAUAUCAUAAUAAGUUAUAAUAUUAUAAUAAGUUAUAACAGUACAAGAAUUAUUUUUUAAAAAAAUUAUGUGGAUAGUUUGGUGACGAUGCGGACGUUGAAAGUUUGGUCUUACGUCACUUCAAAUAUGACUUGGCCCAAUCCGACCUCACGUCAUUUCGAACGUGAUUCGACCCACUUGGUCUCCCUCCACAGGGUAGGAUGUUCGCCCAUUUAAGCCACCAUUUAAAUAAACAAUUUCCUCCUCGGUAUCUGCAUAUACUUGCAGCAUGCGGAAAUCGAACCCGCUAACCAUUAAUCCCAAAAGCUCAGUCGUUAGAAAUACACAACCAAUUCACUUAAAGUGUAUAGAUACAACGCCCGCGGAUUUCGAUUGUGACUCGGUCUAUUCAGCCUUAUGCUCGAACAUGACUCGGUCCAACUCACUCUCACGCAAUUUUGAACAUGACUCGGCCCACUUGGCCUCCCGCCACAUGGCAUAAUGUUGGCCCAUUUAAGCCAACGGCGUUAAAUUUAAAGUAUUAAAUUUGAUACUAAAUUUUAUUAUUAAAUUUUAUAAAAUUAAAAUAAUAAUUAGAUUGGAUAAAAUUUUUAACUAAGCUAAACAAAAGUUAAGAAGUCUAAACAAGUAAGGAGCUGAUUUCAAAAUGAAUUCAAAUAAAAAAAAAAAAAAGAUAAGGAGCCUAAAUUAUUAAGGAGCUGAUUUCAAAAUGACUAAUCGAUGAGGAGGAUGUCCAUGCAUUUCAAGCUAGCAAACUUUUUAGCUUUUGCUUGGUGGCUAGAUGGGUGCCGCUUUGCCACGCAGCGCCGAUUUGCAUUGUCCCCAUACUAUUUAGUUUGGAGAUGAUGUCUAUAUAAUUUUUAUCCUGUAGGUCAACCCCACAAUCGGGGCAGGACUACAGGAGAAGGCGGCGGCAGUAAUGCCUCUAAGUUUUAGAAAGAAAGAAAUUUUUUCAUAUUUCUAAUUUGAUAGGUCGCGUAGUGGUUGUUAUCUCAGUUGCUGACUAAGAGAUCAUAUGUUUAAUCUCCUAUUAGAGUCUUUAUUAUCGGACAUGUGAUUAUAUUUAGAGCAGUUUUUUAGGUGCGCCGACAAGUUAAAAAGUAUCCAUUUAGGUGGAUAAUAAUUUGAGGAAAAAAGAAUUAGGUGGAUUGUAGGACUCUUUACCACCGCAUAUACUUACAAACAAAUUUUACAAUACUUUACAAAUAGCAUACGUGGCGGUAUUUAAUUGGUGUAGAAGUGUAAAUCAGGAUAAGAUCUGCAUAAUUUAUAAUUUCAAGAUUGAAAUCCAAACAUUAAGUUGUAGAAUCUGUAAAAUACCACAAGAUAAGUAUUGUAAAAUUUGUUUGUAAGUAUAUGCUCACAUAUUUCUGUGAGGGGCCGCGGAAAAAAAUGUUCGAUCUUUGUCUUACAACAAUAUGCUGGGAACUGUGGAAGAAAAGAAACAGUCGUAUUUUCAACGGACACCUCACUCGAAGUGACGAAACUGGAAGGAGAGNAUGAUAGAACUUCCAAAUUGACGAUCGGCUCCGUUGAACAUGAUCUAUACCACUUGCAGUGUUUAGAAAUCAAAUUUCAAAUCUUUUCGACAUCAUUUGCCUAAUGAUCAAAAGGUUUCAAAAUUUGUAAUUUUAAUGGUCGAUAAGAGGCGUUUUCUCGUUUAAUGGCGUAAAGAUAUCCAAAUCAAUUGAAUUUUUGUUAAAAAAUUCUUUAAACUAUUUAAAACAAGAUCUAUACUCUUGAUCUUGAUUACAAGACUCCUAUUAUCAUUUUUUAAAGAGUAUUCAUUUUCAGCUAUUCAUUUUUUUGUUUACUUGAUGGAUAAAAGAAAAUAUCGAAAGUGCGUGAAAUUUGAUUUUUAGGUAGUUUAAAUGGUUUAGAUCAUAUUUAACGGAGCUGAUCGUCAAUUUUGAAGCUCUAUCAACGAAAACAAAUCGGUAGUAAAACGGCUUGUUUACUACCGGUAGUAUUCUAGCUCAACUCUAUACAUAUAUAUAGAGUAGGGCUGCUGUGCUCUCAGGAGCACGGAAGCCUCUGUGCUCCUGAGCCGUUUUCGAUGAUGGAAUUUUCGAAUCGACUGUUGGCUCCGUUAAACUUGAUCUAGCGCAUUUGAAGUUUCUAGAAAAUAAUUUUUGCGAUUUUUUGAUAUCAUUUACCUAGUGAUCGAAAGGAUUCAAAAUUCAUAAUUUUUAAUGGUUGAUAUCUGCCGUUUUCAAGUUUAACGGUGUAGAAGUAUUCAAAUCAGAUGAAAUUUUGAUACAAAAUUCUUUAUACUAUCUACAACAAGAUCAAUAUGUCUGAUCAAAAAUUUUAGUGCUAUAUCACCACUUUUUAUAGAAUUUUUAUUUUCAGCCGUUAAAAACUAUUGAUUUUGAAUCAUUUCGAUUGCUAGGUAAAUGAUAUCGAAAAAUCGCAAAAAUUAUUUUCUAGAAACUUCAAAUACGCUAGAUUAAGUUUAACGGAGCCGAUCGUCGAUUCGGAAACUCUAUCAUAAAAAACGGAUCAAGAGCAUGGAGGCCUCCGUGCUCCUGAGAGCACAAUAGCUCUGCUAUAUAUAUAUAUAUAGGCUGGGAUUGGUUUCACUUAAAAAAAGAGAAACAAAAACAAAACAAAACGUUAGAUCGUUUUGAAUCAAAUAGGCCGAAAUUUAAGUCAUCUUUUGGAAUGACAUAAUAUUAGAAUAAGAUUUUAUUUAUUUAUUUAUUUUAUUGAACAUUUUAGCCCCAAGUGGUAAAGAACAUGAUAAUUAAUAUCCGGUAAAUAUACUUCACAUUUUCAGCUAAAUUUGUUUAUGAACAAAUUAAAUGACCCUAUGAUGUAGGGGUGAAAACGAAUCGGAUAUGGUCGGAUAUUUGACAAAACUAUAUCUACAUCCAUUUUUUCUUUUCGGAUACAAAUUCGAAUAUGGAUAUACAUCGGAUACCAAAUUUUUGUUGCCAUAUCGCUAAAAUGGAUUAAGAUAUGAUCGAAUAUUUUUUCGGAUUCGAAUAUGAAUUGAAUAUAUAUUCAGAUAAUAAUAAUAUACAUUAAUAUGCACAUAUCUAUCUAUUACUAUAUACUAAAGUAGAAUCCUUUAUGAACCCUAUGUGAGAAGCUGACACGUGGCUUUCUAUAUGCUUGUCACGUGUCAAGCUCAAAUAUAGAUUUUUUACUUUAGGAAAAAUAAAAUAUACUAAAGUAGAAUCCUUUAUGAACCCUAUGUGAGAAGCUGACACGUGGCUUUCUAUAUGCUUGCCACGUGUCAAGCUCAAAUAUAGAUUUUCUACUUUAAGAAAAAUAAAAUUUGAUUUUUUAAAGAAAUAAUAUUUUUUACUAUAUUAUUAAAAAUCACCUAUAAUGAAGGGGAUUUUAUUUCAAAGUCACAUAUAAUUAUGUUGAGAUAUUUGAGAAAUUCACGGAUAUUACGUUGCGAAAGAAUUGGCGGGUGCGGAUAUUACGCGUGAGAAAGAAAAUAUUUAUCUUUAUUUUUAUUUCAAAGUCACUUAUAAUUACAUUGAGAUAUUUGAGAAAUUUACGGAUAUUAUGUUGCGAAGGUUGCGGAUAUUAUGUGUGAGAAGGAAAAUAUUUAUUUUUAUUUGGGAAUAAAUUAUUGCAAGCUCAAAUAUGAAUUUUCUACUUUAGAAAAAAUAAAAUUAGAUUUUUUAAGAAAAUAAUAUCUAAUUCAUGGAUAUUACAUUGCGAAAGAAUUGACGGGUGCAGAUAUUACGCAUGAGAAGAAAAAUAUUUAUCUUUAUUUGGGAAUAAAUUAUAACUUAGUUAAUUAUUUGAAAUGAUUAGUUGAAAAUUACUAGACAUAAAAAUAUUAGUAAAAAAGGAUACAUGUAUUUUUGGAAAGAGAAAAAAAUUCAAAACUCACGUAGUACAGAUAUAGAUAUUGCAUGUCACUUCCCUACUAUCACUCCUUCUGUAAUUUUUAUUUCGUAAUUUUUUUCCCUACUGUCAUUCCUGUAAUUUUCUUAGUUCUUAAAUGUUGAUGCUUUAAAAUAGAACAUAUUAUUUUCAUUUUAUUAUUUAAAUACGAAGCAAAUAUUAAUUUUUUUUCUUGGAUGUCUUAUUGUUCUCAGGAUAUGGCACUUGGGUAUGAUUCUAUACGUGACAUCACUCUUCUUAGAGACAAAUGGAAAAUCAAAGUCAAAGUGAUUUGUCUGUAUACUAUGCCUGAAUUUAAUCGUCCAGAGGUGGUGAAUAGCCUAGAGUUAGUUCUUUCUAAUCAAAAUAUAAGAUACGGCUUUCAUUUUCAAAUUGAACAUACGUUUGUUUUGCUUUUACUAAAAGAUACUACACAAUUUGUUUAUUUUCUAUUAUAGGGUGAUAGAAUACAUGCAACGGUAAGAAAAGCUUUACUAAACAAAUUUAAAUGUCUUUUCACGGAAGAAAAAGUUUAUGUGAUCAACCAGUUUGGAGUGGGGCAGAGCAGCGGCUCCUAUAGGACCACUAUACAUUCUUACAAAAUCAAUUUUCAAUAUUCUACGGUUGUACGUGAGAUGGAAGAUGUUUUGACAAUAUCAAAGUAUGGAUUUAUAUUUAUCUCUUUUGAUGAAAUACUUGCUAAUGUCGCUGAUGACAAAUAUUUAGUAGGUAAGAGUUGUUACAUGCAUCAAAUAUUUAAUUUUUAAAAUUCAAUUUUUAAUAUGUGUACCUACUAUAUUGAUUCUUACAUUUUAUUUUUCUAAUUUAUCAGAUGUCAUUGGGAAGCUUUCUAGAAUUAGUAUAAUGGAAGAAAGCUGCAAGGACGGUAAAGAAACAAAAAAGAUUACGAUACUACUUAAGGAUGACAAGUAGGUGCUCAUAAUUAUAAAUAUAUCUUUUGAAUAUUUAUAUUUUUUUUUUCAGUUAGCUGCUUAUUAUUAUAAAUAGAUAACUAGAUUGACAGUUAUAUCCAAAACAAAUUAUAUUAUAUUUAUCAAUCUGAUAACUUUAUAUUACGACACUCAUGUCUACAUCUUAAAUAACGGUACUUUACGUUCUUUGAGUUUUCUUGCUAAUAUAAAUAUAAAUAUAAAAAUUAUCUAUAAGUAGCAUUUGUAGUAUAAUGAUCAUUUUAAUUUGUAUUUUGGUCAUUUAGUAAUUUUUUCUGUAAAACUUAUAGUAACAAGAAGCUGGGUUGCACAUUGUGGAGAAGGUUUGCUGAAGAACUUCAUACUUAUAGACAAGUAGGGGAUGAAGCCUCUGUCAUAAUUAUAAUGCAAUGGUGCAAGAUAAAAGACUUUGCAGGUAUCUCAUUUAUUCAAACUUUGGAUAUUAUUUAUAUUCUUACUAAUUAUACUAAUUAUUGAAUAUCUAUGAGCAACAUAGGUUCACGUAAUAUAUCAUUCACGUAAUAUAUCAAACUCUCUUUAUGCAACCAAGAUGAUGAUCAACACUAAUAUAUCAGAAAUAUUGGAGUUCAAAAAUAAAUAAGUUAACCAAUAACCUUAUUAUUUUUUUAUAUAUAUAUUGUUCACUUACAUUAAAAUAUAAAAUUUAGGAUUGUAAGCGGAGAAGUAAGUCAAUCUAUGGUGCUUAGUGAAAUUUCAACUCAAUCCACUAUUUCUCUAACGAAUGACUUCCUAAAAGUAUUUCAAAAGAAAACUCUGGCUGAAAUUCAAGAAUGCCAACAGGAAAAUAAGUGUAAAUAUCUUAUCCAUAUUUAUCGUUUUAAUACAUUUUGUUCUCUUAUUCUUAAUACUGAAUAUAUAUCAUUUUUUCAGCCUUGUGUAUGUGUCACUCUAGCAACUGUUCUAAGUGUUGAGACUUAGCGUGGCUGGUACUACAAUUCUUACAAAAGGUGAUUCCUGAUGAAACUGGAUUCUAUUGUGAAUUUUGUGAGAGAAUGGUAACUUGUGUUGGACUAAGGUGAGAAUUUUUACUUCUGCACUUGAUGUAUAUGAUUUAAUGUGAUAUUUUUUUAACAACAACCUACAAUAUGCAUGCUAUGACAAUAAACAAGAGUCAAGGUUAAUCGUUAUUACAUGUUGGCUUAUAUCUACCUAGACCGAUAUUCAGUCAUGGUCAGUUAUAUGUUGCAAUAUCUAGAGUUCGAAGCAACGUCAGAUUGAAUAUUCUAAUUUGUGAUAAAGAUGAUUUGUUAUCUAAAACUACAAGCAAUGUGGUUUUUAAAGAAGUGUUUCAGAAUUUAAAAUAGGUGGACGGUUUAUUUUUCUUCAUAUUAUUUUAAAAUUUAUAAUUUUUCAACCAUUCAACUCGGUCAUUUUAUUUUUUUACAUAAAUUUAGAUAUUUUUCUGAAAAAAUUCACUAAUAUUAUGAUAUUUAUUAUUUUACUUAUCUAACAAUUUAUCUAUAUUAUUAUUGGAGUAGAUACUUUCUAUUUUCAUGUAACAAAGUUUUUUUUCUUUAUAUUUUCUUGAAGACAAACAUCUAUAUAUUUUUGAAUCUUAAAAGUUUGUAUUUCUCUCAUAUACGUGUCCUUACUCUAAUUUGUGUCAAAUAUGAAAGUUUAGUUGAUCUCAUUAUAUGCUUAAAUAUUAAUGUCAUUUGUAAUUUUUCACAUCAAUUUUAGUUAUCAUUUUGUUUUGCACAUCAAUAUGUAAAUGUAAAUUGUUUUGCACACCAAUUCAUAGAUAAUAGAGCAUGGUUGAAUUUUGCUUUUUACUUGAGUAUUUACUUUGCUCCAUAAUUUUUUUUCUCUACCUUUUGUACUUUAAUAUAUACUAUAAUUAAGAUUGAUAGUAUAUUUCUUUAUUUGUUAAAAAAAUAUAAUAUUAAUUAGAAUAUUUUUUUUUAUCAUCACAUACUAACUUUUGUUAUUUUAUAUUAUUAUUUUAUCCGUGCAUCGCACGGGUCAAAUACUAGUACAAUAAAUGAGAAAUACAAAAAAUUACUUUAUUUUCCUACCUUGUUUCCUCACUUUAUAUCUUCACAUAUAAAACAUAUAACAAUUCUAAUAUAUAAUUUAUUAUAAAAUAAACUAAUAACACAAAAAAUUACCUUAUUUUCUCACAACAUGUAUUAAUUGUCCCUCUUAUAUCUACACAAAAAGCAAUUAAACUUUCCUCAUCGUCCUCUUCGCAGAUGGUGGACCUCAAUGAGUAGGGUGAGAGAGCAGAUGCCAGAGAGAGAAAGAGAGAUAAAGUUUUGAGAUUAGGUUUCGUUCAUUGAAACCGACCGUCCCUAGAGCAAGUGGCAAAGGAUUUGGUGGUUGGUAUCCGAGACCCAAGUUCGAAUCCUAGUUGAUUCACAUUUCUAGCUAAGUUUAUUUCUAAAUGAAAUAAAACGAAGCGGGUAGCGUGCUACCUAUCUGGCUAUCUCUCUCUCUCUCAAAAAAAAAAAGGUUUCGUUCGUUGAAGAGAAAUCGAGCGAUCGAUUCUAGAGGAAAGGAAUUUAGGCGGGCUAAGUGAGCAAAAUUGGAGCGGGCGGAUCCAAAAAUAUAAAAAAUAUAAAAAUAAUAGUACGAAAAGUCCGAAUAUCCAGAUCUAUAUCCAUUUUUUUUCGGAUAUUCAAAAAAAAUUAACUCUCUAAAACCAUAUCUAUAUUGUAUCUAUAUCCGACUGGAUCUGAGUAUUUUCUAUCUAGAUCCAGAUAUUAUCGAAUAUGGAUACAGAUAUUUUUGGAUAAUAUCCGAUCCGGUUUAACCCCUAGUAUGGUGUGUGAAUCUUAAGCGCUAAAUUUAUUUCUAAACAAAUUAAACGACAGAAUGGUGUGAAUUUAUUUCUGAACAAAUUAAAUGACGGUAUGGUAGUGUCUGAAUCGUAAGCGCUAAAUUUAUUUCUAAACAAAUUAAAGGAUAGUAUGAUGUGUGGAUCGUAAGUGCUAACCAACUAUCAAAUUAAAGGUAGUAGGGUGCCUAGAUCGUAAGCACUCGUCACAUCUAAGGGCCCAAAGACAGUCACUUACGAACUUCCACGUGACUCCAUCUAUCUAACCGUUAGGCCUAUUAUUUGGCCUCUUGUCAUUAAGUUUAUUAUGAAUCGCAACUCCACUAAACUUAUUGGGCUCAUUUAACUCAAUUCCUUAGUUUUCUAGACCUAAUAUCAUGGAGUGAAAAUUAAAGCUAUUUUAGCUAACAAUAAAUAGUCAACAUAUGAAAACUCCCUCACUUGGUGCUCACAGUGCGUACAUUUCCAACAAUUUUGAGACAAGCCAUAGGCAUAAUUUAACCGAUAAAAUAUUAUCAUUUGCUGGAAAUAAUAAUAAUCCAAAUUUAAUUAAAAUAUAGUUAGAGAUAAAUUUAAGUCUUUUAUUUAAUUAUAAUUAUAAUUUAUAAUUAUCUAAAGUAAAAAUUAAAUUUAUCAUCUGUUAUGGCUUGACAGCUAUAUAUAGUUAGACAUGAAUUAAAAAGAGAAAGAAGCUACAGUAAACAUAGUUGCGUGGAUGUUACAUAGAAUAUCGUGCGUUAUAUAAUCAGUAUCAGUACAAAUACCAAUUUCUAUAAUUUGUAUCAGAGCAAAUCACGUUUUCAACAUCAUUUAAGCUUAAUCUGCUCAGUAAUGGACCCAUUCUGACCCGUUGCCAUCCCAAACUUUUUUUUUUCUUGAGAAUCGUGUUCAAGAUCUUUAAUUACCACAAUCUAAUCCUCUUAGAUUGCGUCUAAUUAAUUCAAAGUCCAAAUCAAGUACAAAUUAAAUAAGGUGGUUGAUUACUUUUGCUAACGUAGCUUUAAUAGAAGGAUGAGAAGGCAAAAGAACCUUUUAUUUGUGACAGUUCAUAACGCAUUAAAUAUUCUCGAAUCAACUUAUUAUAUGCCAUUUAAGAUAGUGAAGUGUCAAAUAAAAAAAAUAAAAGAGUGCUUCCAUAUUAAAAUAAUAAAUUAUAAAAAUAUUUAAUUGUAUGUUAUUACUUUAAUAUUAAUUUUGUACCUAAAUUCGCGUGACGUUACCAUAAAGAUAAAUGAGAGGGAGAGAGAUAAAAGGUUAUUUUACUCUUUACAAAAUUGUGUUUAAUUUUUUUUACUCAUAAUUAUCCAUAUUUUUAUAUUUGUAGAUAAUUUUUUUUUGAAAAAAUAAAAUAUGAUCACUAAAAUUUUAUAAAAAAUUUAUUUGUUUAUUUGCUAUUUUUACGAUUCGCAAUUAUCCACACAAUAUCUCAUGUAGAACAACUGCAAAAAGUAGUUCAAAGUCAAAUUAGCCGCGACACGUGGCAAAAUCAGAACCGCGAGAAACGUCGGCACGUCACCUAAGUUGUCUCUUCUCAGAUUAGAUCUCCACCGUCCAACUUUAGUUGGCAAUACCCCGUGUGGGUCCCGCAAUGCUGUUCAAUGAGGAUUGACCACGUCGGUCCCAUCGAUCUCAUUGGUCACGCAAAUCAAAUAUUUUUGGUUAUAAUACGAAAAUAAAUUAUACAUUUUAAAUAUUUCAUUGUGCAUACGAAAUACUUUUGGUACUGCAAAUAUAUUAAGACUUCGUUUGGAAUUGCGGAAAGAUUACGUUACGUACGGUGAGAAAGUACGUUGGAAAAAUAUCAUGUUUGUUUCUGUACAUAAUAUUGCGUACGUUGAAAAAAUAUCCUGUUUGUUUCUGUACCUAAUAUUGCGUUCCGCAUGAGUCGGUUACAAUAUAUUUUUUACGGUCCCACCGGAGAACGCAGAAGCAUAUCCCUACAUUGUUUUUCCUCAACUCCAUUCUAUCUAAUAGCGUUAGAUAGGCCUCAAUACCAAACUAAGCCUAAGAAUAAUAUAUAAGGAUAAUAUUUAAGAAUUAAAUAGCUCAAAACGGUCUUCUUAAAUCAGAUUCUUUGUUCUAUAAAAACAGCUAUAAGAUAUUCGGCAUAGAAAACUUUAAGAGUGUGUUUGGUUCGCGCUAUCUUUUUAAGAUUCCUAGUAAUCCAAUAUAAAUAAAAAAAAUGACAGUGUUUGACUAAACACAAUAAGUAAUAUAUUUGGUAAUACUAGAUUUAUCUAGAAAUGAGAUGCAUCCCAAAGUACUAAUCUCAUUCCUUUGAGGGAGGGUGGGUAUUCUUAUGUUAAUAGAUUGGAGUAAUUAUAAUAUGUCUAAUUUUUUUUUUCCAUCCCACCCGCCGGCUAGUUGGUAUUAUUUUUUUUUACACUCUAACCUCAUAUCUCUCUCUAAACUUAUCUUUUUUCUCUCUAAACUUCAACUUUUUUUUUCUCUCUCUAAAUUAAGUUAUUUUUUCCCCACUUUUUCUAAAAUCUCAAACUUCUUAUUCUCUCUAACCUCAACUCUAUUUCUCUUUUUAUUUCUUUAAUUAUGCUCUCUCUUUCUAACCUAUAUUUUCUCUCUCUUUUUUCUAAAAACGAUGUUGAAAUUUUUAUAGUAUUAUUUAAAAUUAAAUUAAUUAAUUAAUUAAUUGUAUAUUUUUUUGUAAUCUUAAAUAACAUAACUAAAUAAUAUGACCAUAUGAACCAAACACCGAAAUACUAUAUUCUUAAUAAUAGGAUGAAUAGGAAUAAAAUUAUCGAAUAUCUUUUUACUCCUAGUAAUCUUUCAUAGUGCAAACCAAACGCGUCCUAAAACUAUUCUAAUACCGAAAGAUUAUGCCAUGUUACAAGAACAAAAUGUAUAACACGCAUUAAUAGGUCCUGAUCCUCAUUGUUUGCUACCGACUCGGCCGCGAAUGUGGAUUAAGAACUCAAAUUUGGUGAUUAGAUGUCUACUCAAGUAAUCGCUAUCGUCCGGUAUCGUUUGUAGUUGAUAUAAUCGGGGCAUCUGAUCCCCGUCAACAAAGAAAUAUAGUUCGUCUUGCGUACACACUAACAAAUAUUCUACUUUAAUGUUAAGGAGAUCUAGAGUAAUUCUUUUGGACAUGAAAAAAGGGCAAAAAAAAAAAAAAGAGUAUAAGGUGGGGUCCUAUAUAUUCUAUAUAUUUGACAUGUAAAAGCAAAUAUACAAGUAAAAUAUUUAUUUGUGGGGUUUACUAUUCCAUAUUUAGGAGAACAAAAGGCAAGUGGAGAGUUAGGAAUUAAUGAACAACACAAUUCAUGAAUGGCCACACAUUGUUUAAGGCUUUGGAUGAUAUCAAAUGGGUCAGAUUUGUAGGAGGGAUGUGGAGUCCUUAUCCUCUCUCUCUCUCUCUCUCUCUCUCUCUCUCUCUCUCUUUUCCCUAGCUAGUACACAUGUGGGGACAACUCCUAAUAUUAAUUAAUUAAUUUACUUGUUAAUCCAAUUAUUCUUAUAUAAAUAUAUCUAUAUAUAAACAAACUAUUCCAUUCUUAUCCUCACCACCCUUCCCCUCAUUCAUAUACUUUUCACCUCAUAGCUAGAAUCCUCUCUAGCUAGAUCUCUCUCUCUCUCUCUCUCUCUCUCUCUCUCUCUCUCUCUCUCUCAACACACACAUUGCAUACACAUUACAAGUGAAUUCAAGGGGAUAUCAUUUUGCUAAGCAAGUAUGAUGGAGGAUUCAUUCAACAUCCCACAAAGCAACUUAAGAAGCAAUUGGAUGGUGGAUGAAGAAGAUAAUCUUGAGUCUAUGCAAUCAUUCUUUGAAGAAGAGCUAGAGCCUUCAUGCAAUUCUGUGAGUUCUUCGUCCUCGGACGAAGACGGAGACGCAACUUCUUCGAAUUCGUCGUCGACGGAUGAUAAAUUCGAACAGGGCUCUCCUCUAUUUGAGAUGUCUUCUCUCCUAGAACAACUUCCUAUCAAGUAAGCUCAAUCUUCUUCUUACAAUGGUUGUAAAAGAAGCGAAUAAGAACUUGCUACCCGCCAAAACAAUUCUACACUACAUUCCCUAUCAAUGAAAUUUAACAGAGAAUAUGUGGUGUUGAUAACUAUUGAAUGUUUUACCAUACAAUGAAAUUCGAUCAUUCUCUAUCAGCUUAAACUUUUGCCUAGUAGAAUAUCGUAUCGAAUUUGGGAACGAUCAUUAAUAUUAAAGUAGGAUAUUGUAUCCAAUUUAUUUCCCCUUUCUAUUAUCUUUGAUUAUCUCCUAUUGCACCGGGCAUGUGCGGAUACGCUUCAAAUUAGCUCUCUUGUACUUCAACCUAUUUGCUCUUUGUUAUUACACUUUGUUACACCAAAGUUUUAUUUUUGUUUCAUCACAAGGACCUGCGGUUAAAUAGAAAAGUAGCAUGCUAUAUUUUGCAAACUUAUACAUCGUAAUACUAAAAUAUCAUACUUCAUCAUUCUGUGAUUUGUAAAACAUAAGCAUUUGCAGGUCCUUACAAUGAAACAAAAAUAAAAUCCCAUGAUAGUAAAUUGCGCACAACUUUUCAAAUCAUAAGGUGGCAUAAUGACGAUGAGCAAAACCGCAAAGGCUAAUUGAAAUUUGCCCUAAAUUAAGUAUCAUGGUGAUCUCACAAUUAGCUAUGAAGAAGAAAUUUCAUGAAUCUAAUAAUCUUAAUUUGUGCCGAGUUUGAAGUAGUUAGUACUAACUCUUCUAACUCAUGCUCUUGAUCAAUAUUGCAGGAGAGGGCUCUCAAAGCACUUCCAAGGGAAGUCCCAAUCCUUCACAUCCUUAUCUAGUGUGAGGUGCUUGGAGGAUCUAAUCAAACCAGAGAAGCUACACAAGAAGAAGCAGAAGCAGAAGCUCAAGCCAUCAAAGAGCUCCAAUACCAUAGCCAAAAAGUCCUCAAGAAGCACUUUUUCCACACUUGGCUUAAGGAGGAGGAGCUUUUUGAGCAGAAGCACUUCCAUGGCUCCACAGAGACAAGGGAGCAGUGUUUCUAACCACACCCUUCUAUUUGCUUAAGAAAUAGAAGGGCUUGUAAUGAAAUUUAUAAGAUCAGUUGCUGGAUAUGAUUAUCUGCCUCAUUUACGAAAUGUCGAGUCAAUUGCGGUGUAAUUUAAUGCGCGAGAAAUCGACAAAAAUCUUCUAUUUCUAGCAUCAGUAUGCACACACUAAAUUGCAGAAUAUAAGAUGACGAAGUUUGGAUUGAGUAAACAGUUUUGAUAUGUUAUUCAAUUUUGACAUGCGCUUGCAAAAUGAUAUAUAUUUUCUCCCAAUACAAGUGUCACGAUACCUAUAAAUGAACUUAAUUUAGCAGUUAUAGUAAAGAGAGAAAAUGGAAGAGAAAGAACCCGAAUGUUUGUUGCAAGCGAUUCUCUGCGGCAUUUCGUCGAGCAGCUCCUGCGUCUGAAAUUUAAAGAUCAGAUCCGAUCCAAAUUGUAUAAGAUUCAACUCAAUGGCGAUCUCGGCGGCGAGUGAAGCCGAGUUGGAGGAGGAGGGGGGGGAGAAGAUAGAGCCAGAGCAAGGAGACGGCGAGGGAGGCGGCGGCAGCGGCGGCGGCGGGGGUGAAGAACCGCUCGUCGUCGUCGACGCGGCGGCGGCGGCGGCGGUUGAGGAGGAUGUAGAGGGAGGCCAAGGAGAGCGCCGCGAACACCCGGUUCGCGUACCGCAUCGCCGGCGACGGCGCGUUGUCGUCGUCGGCGCCGGCCCCCUCCACCCUCCUCCUUCUCAUGAUUAUGCCGCCGCCGUCGCCGUCACCGUCGCCGUCGCCGCCGAUGCGGUCGCGAGCGACGGUGUUCAUGAUAUGCAAGAAUAUGGUAAAAAGGAGCAACAAGUUUUAGCUUUGUACAGCGGUUGACUAGUAGAGGAAAGACGCCACUAAAUUUUUUUUUCUAUCCUUUAAAAUUUUAUACUUUAUUUUUAGAAAAAUAAAAAAUAUUCAUUUUAACCCCGCCGUGAGUAUUCUAUUUAUAUCCUAUUUUUUAUAUCCAAAAUACCCCUGAAACCUCUUUCUUUUUUAUCCUCGACCGCACCGUCUCGCCCUCCGCCACCUCGCCCUCGCCCACCUCUCUAUCUAUGCCUGUACGCAUGCCCUCGCCCGCCUCCGCCACCUCACCCUCGCCCUCGAUCAACUCUCCUUCUAUGCUCACCCUGAAAAAAAAAAAGAAGUAAUUUAGUCAUUUUAUCGUACUGUAAGUAUUUUUAUUUUUUAAGUGGGUAAAGUGUAGAUUUUUGAAUAAUAUGAAAAAAAUGAAAAAGCGGAUAUUGAGGGAAUUUUUUUUUUUGUAAUUUAGCCUUUUUUUUCUAAAAAAAGAUAGCGCGUUACCUAGUUUAUUUAUUAAAAACAUGAAUUAAACAAAAGUGAGGUGAUACAUUUAUUUAUAAAAAACAUGAACUAAGAUAUAGAAGUGAGGUGAUAGAUCUAUGCAGCAAGUGACAAAAAAAAGGAUUUAACUAGGAUUUAGGCAGAUACUUGAUCAAAGUGUAACCGCAGAAUAAUCUAGAACAACGAAUGGGACACACACAUUCACUUUUAAAUGAGUAUCUCCCAAGGAAAAAAUAUUGAGUAAGAAGGAAUGAAACUUAUCUCAACUAUAAAAUAUUUGGAUUCAGUUAUUUAAUAUUUCAAAAUUUUAAUUUUACUAUUUAACUUUUUAAUUUAUUUGAUUUGAAUCGGUCAAUAACAGUUUGACUCUAAAAUUUAAGCUAAUUAUCUAUUUUAAUUAAUUUAUAGUUAUGAGAAUUAUAUCAAAUAUACAAACUAUAUCUGUAAAAAUGAACGACAUAUUCAAAUUUUGAAGUUAUAAUAUCGUUGACUCACUCAAAUCAAAUAAAUUAAAAUGUUAUAUAAUAAUAACAAAAUUUUGAGAAGAUUGGAUAGCCAAAUUUAAAUAGUCUAUAGUUCAGAUAAGCUUUAUAUGUUUUCACCAGAAAAAUGCUACUCUGAGAAUAAAAGAUUACUUCGCAUGUUUUGUUCAUAUUUUUUCUACUUAGAAUCAGAAUCGAUUUCGUUUAUAAAUUAUAAUCCUUUGGUACAUAAGAGUUUCGUACAAUUUCUGAUUUCCAGAUGUAAUACAAUUAUAUAUUAUAUUUUUAUUUCAAAAUAAAUUAAUUUUCUAAUUUUAAUUUUAACUAAUAUAUAAGUUUAAAUUUAGAAAUUUUGUUGUAUCAUAAUUACUCUUCCAAACACAGACUUUCUUUCAAAAUUUCAUUAAACUAAUUUGGGAAAUUGCGUCGGCUCUAAAUUUAAACAUCCAUACUUGCGAUUGGAGAUCUUUUGAGAUUGCGGAGAGAUUGAAAUAUGUGCCGUAAGUAAAAACAACAAAAAAAAUGCCCUAUUUGUUUGUUCUGCAUACAUAUGCAAAUUUGGCGUUUGGUUUAAUAUAUUUAACUCCAGCUGCUGCAGUAGGAACCGUAGAAGAAGGUCCAACUGCAAUAGUUGGAACUACGCUCAAAUUGGCCGCGAUUCCAAUUGCAGUAACUGGAGAAAGUAAUAAAAGAUAAGCUUACAUUCUUAAUUAUUUUUAAAUAAAAACUCAUUUUUUUACAUUUGAGGUAAUCCCACCAUCAUAUAUAUAAAAUAUAAAAUUUUAAAAAUUAUUUCUCAAUUAUAUGCAACCAAGCAAAUUAUCUGUAGUUGCAGCGCUUUCUACUAUAUUUAACGAAACAGAAUGUAUAUAAUUACGACUGCUACAUUUCCAACUGAAUGCAUCUCCAACUAUGCUGUAUUUAUAAUUAUACCUAACCAAAGCGGCUCUUAUAUGCUUUCGCCCUUGACUCCAUUUUACCUAUUAGUUUCAGCGGGGCCUUAAUAUCAAACAAACGGACCCUAACUCUACUGUACGAAAAAGAACUUUUACUAUCUAUUAAUUUUACGACGAGGCGGCGAAAAUUUUAUAGUAACUUACUGAGCAUACCACAUUUUCUUUCCAACGCAAUCCCAAAAAAUCUCGAGAGAGAGAGACCUAACGGGCUUUUUUAUAAAAUGGCCCUCCAGAAAUUCGAAUUUGGCAAAAUAAUCCUAUCAAAAUUUUAUUUGUAAAACUAACCCCUUCACAACAAAUAUUACAAAGACGGUAAACGAUUCACCGUCUUUGUGAGGAAUCCUGACGUGGCGCCCACGUGGUGAAAAGAGGAUUAGUUUUACAAAUAAAAUUUUGGCAGAAUCAUUUUAUCAAUUUCGAGUUUCUAGAGGGUCAUUUUAUAAAAAAGCCCAAACCUAACAUUCAAAUAGUAGCCCUCGCGACCAGUAGGAUAGAAAAGAACACCGGCACAGAAAUUCUUCAGCAUUUCUUCUCUCUCUUCUUCUUCUUCUUCCUCCCAGAAACGUGUUCUUCCCCGCCGUUCUCCAAAUCGUUGAGAAAUCUCCGUGUUCUUCCCUGGCGUUCUCCAAAUCGUCCAGAAAUCUCCAUCUGCUGAUCGGUACAGCGGUAUGCAUUAUUUUUUCUUUUUUGGGUUCAGUUUUCACGGCCUAGUUUUGUGUUUUUUGCUACAAUACGGCGCAAAAGAUAGCAUUUUUUUGACCGCAAGCGAGGUGGGAGCAGUACUGCAGCCUGCAACAGCAGAUUUGCACUGUACACACAAGCUCAGUAGAUUUGCAGAUUUGCAAGUAACCUACAAUCAUCACCUGGCGACUGCAGGGUUAGGCCAAAGUGUUGUGUUCAUAAAAAGAGUAGUUCGCUAUACAUUUUAUACUCAAAAAUUCACCACUGCAGCUAAAACGAAGUCCGAAAACCCAUCCAUGUCUACAUCAAAGCAGAAGCUCCAAUUUUUCUGUGUCCCAAAACCAGCCCUUUCUAGAGCUACAACAUUCCAACAAGCAGCAACUCUGCUCUGGGUAAGUAGAAUAGGAAUCCCCAAUUCAAAGCUCAAUCUUCUGUUCUGUUGUAACAAAAAGUGUCAUCUGGCUCAGCAGAUUUUAGUCGCCCUAACUAAACACGCUAAAUAGUAGGAUGUGUAUCUCACAUCAAUAUUAUCUAUUCAACACUCAUUAACUAACACGCAAAAUGGUUGACAAAGUAAACUUGGUAGAUAUUUUGAUAUAACUAGACAGAUUUUUUUUUUUUUUUUUGGAUAUAAUUUUAUAUUUCAGAAGAACUCCACAGACAGAAUUUGAAAGAAGAUUGUUGGUUUACACGCGAAAAUAAGUUUUUCUAAUUCUGGGGAUUACACCGAGGACUGAAUAUUAUAAUACAGGACUUGAAUGAUGGCAUUUGGUCACUAUUCUAAGGCUCAAAAUGUAGAGAUUUCGAGUUGAUCAAACUUUUGAAACCUUAGACCUGAGACCGCCGAGCUUUCUGAGCUUUUGUAUUUACCUUGCUCUUUUGUCCUGGAGAGAGAAAGAGAGAGAGAGAAAGAGAGAAAGCGAAGUCCAUUAAUUCUAAUGGAUUGGAUGAUAUUGUGUGAUCCCACGUUUUGGCGGUAGCUUCCUCAAGAUGAAAAGAACUAGAGCUGAGGGGAGAAUUUCAACCAGCUGCAAAAUAUUAAGCAAGUGUUAUCGAUACAAACAUAGACGGGAAAAAAGAAAACAUAAAAUUUAAUUAAAUAGCCUUUUGUUUUUCAGAAGAAGCAUAUUAUGAUAUAAAGAAUCGUGCCCUCUGUUUGCUUCAUGUUCUCUAUCAUAUCCAAUGAGGUCCUCAUGGAUAAUUUUAUGAUUUCUGUAUCCUGUAGCUUUAAUUGCAAGUAAAAGGGCACUUUACUUAGGCCCUUAACCCCCUCCCCUACUUUUUUUUAAGGAAAAAAAAAAGAAAGAAAGAAAAAUACUUAUGUUUGGUACUGAUAUUGCACUUACCAUAAUUUAACAAGUAGAUUAUUAGGAUGGCGUAAGCUACUGUCUGAUAUAAUAAAAAAGUGCUGUAGCCAGUUGGAACUUUUUCUUCUUUACAAAAUGUAUACUCUCCUAUGAGUGUAAAAAAACAUCUUGAACAUCUCUAAAAUUGUUAUUAUUAUUUUGGGUGAUAACAAUUCAAGCAUGUUGAAUGAUCCUGAAGUGCAAUUAGAGGUUAUUUUGUUCUCGUUAAUGACAAAAUUUAGUCCUUGUUUGAUCUUAGAAUAUAUCACACCUCAAAGUUUAAAUUUCAAGAUUUAGUCCACUGUUUGGCAAGGGGGACAAUUAAGUUCCUAGUACUCCACUGUCUGAGAAAAGAUGCCAAGUCAGGAUCCUUGUUGGGGUUCGCUGACAUAACAAUUUUCUGCAGUCACAGCUUAAACUAUGAGUCAAAUCGGGAUCAAGCUUAAGGGAUUACAUUGUGAUUAAUCCUGCUUAUUGUCAGUAAUUUCAUGUAACCCUCACUGCUUUAUUUGUGUUUUUCAUAGUUGAAACUUCUUCUGCCACUAUGCGGCAACUAAUCUCGCUGACGUUGAACUUGGUAAACUGAGAUGGUGAAUAAUUGAAAAGCACAUCAAAGACCUAAUAGCAUGGCUCUUAACUAGUCUCUGGACACAUGCUCUACUGUCAAGGUACGCUUCCAAGCCCUUGUAGGUAAUUCUGCACAUUUUUCUUGGGGUUUCCUCUUCCUUGUUCAUAUUCAAAAGAAAGGCUCACCCUCAUUACUCCUAAAUAGUCUUAUUUCUCUAAGUGCCUAGUCUCAAAAAAGUAAAUUACACUCCACUACUAGUCUGCGAAGCAUAAUUUAGUCGAAAUCAAUAGCCACAAAAUCUACUCGGAAUUUCUAUUUUCAUAACCUGUUGUUCCAUUUAAAGGAUCACAUCGCCCACAGCUUUAAAUGACAACCCAAUUAACAACAAAAUAUCAAAUUUAAUCAAGUUUUAUCAUGCCGGAGAAAAAGAGGAAUACAGAUUCAGGCUUACCAAGUAGUAUAAAAAGUUGAGAAUCGGAUGGUUCAGAACAUCUAGGUCUGCCGCUUUAUCAAAUGCAUUGAAGAACAUCUGUGUCACACAAAUGUUUUAGUUAGUUAAUCUAUUACUGUAACACCUAAACAAUCUCAGCAGAAAUUGAGACGCGCCACACGUACCAUAAUGCAUCUCACCAAGAAGCAAGAAAAGCAUAUGGUGGUCACAUAACCAACCUAUAAAAAAUUACAAAAAUAAGAAAGAACAAGGUUAUAAGCCAAAAAUUACCAUUCAGGAGGACUGCUUUCAUGGGUUACUAACUUAGUCCCUAAACUUUGUUAUACAAAACAAAUAAGUCCUGUUAGUAUACAGGUGAAUAAGUUACAACAUCUGCACUAUAAUUAAAUUUCGCUUAGUUGAAAUUCAAAUUUGAGAAUGACAAUUAUGUUCGGGGUCAAAUUUUAAGGAUUAUAUUCUUAUUUUAACUCCAAACACAAAUUUAAAAUAAGAGUCAAACUGAUCAUCUCUUCAUCAGGAACUAAAUUUGUAUUAAUAUAAAGUGAGUGAACCCAAAGAAUACCUCCUGCAACUUUUUGCGCCGCCCUUUGGAUUCAACAGGAAAACGUUGCAACAUGAAGAAAAGCCUAGCAAAAAUGAACCAAAAAAAAAACAAUAAAAAAGCAUAAUUCCUUACGAGUAGUAUAUGUAACAAGACAGUACAAUUGUGUAAUAGAAAACAGUCUGAACUUGUAAAAGGAAGUAAAUCAUCUCAAAAUCAGCUCUCUGUCCAAAACUGGCACAACUACAAGUUAUUACUUAACAAAAUUCUAGAGAAUGAAGAGCCAACCAUACCAUGGGGCAAUUAAUAUUCUUCAGAAACUGGUAAUAGUAGUAACUUUUGUACAUCUGAACUAAGUUAAGCUACAGUUAUAUUAAUCUCACAGUCAUAUCGGCAUUUACUUCUGAUGUUUUGAGUAGCCAAAUAAUAUUAAACUAUAUAGAACCCAUGACACAGACCUAGUAGACUUGAUUACGGACUGAAUAUUAGUUGACUCAGGAUCAACCCAAACUAAAGAGAAACUUAAAUUCCAUUAGAACCCCAUUUAAUCCACUAAAAAAAGUUUGAAUCUAAAGCAAUCAACUGAGCAAAUUGGACACAAUUUUGACACAAAUAUAAGUGAUGUAUUGAUUCUCCAAAUUGAAUUGCAUCAUCAGCUAAUUGUAAAGAGGGAAACAACAAGAAGGAAGCAAGCGGCAUUUUCAAAUUUUAACUAUGUUAGCUGCCAAGUUUAUGUUAAAUUAGAAACACAUAUAAAUACUAGCUAAUUAAGGGAAACUAAUGGAAAGAAAGGUAACAUGGAAGACUAACCAAAGUAGUCGAAAAUAGAGAAAGUAUCAUUACCUUCCUCCAUAGAGUAGGAACCCAAGGGCUGCAAACAACGAGACACCUGCCAAUAUAAAAAAAAGUAUUAAGGCUUUUUGGGUACAGAAGAAAUUGCAGUAAAAUGAGUAAGAAAACCAGGAAAAUAUAAACUUCACCUGCAAAGAAUAUCUUUGACAAGACUACCAUAGCUUGAACAGGCUUCCACCACAAAAGCAACCAAAGAGCUAACUGGAAGAAGUUAGAAUGAGCUAACUCCACAAGCGUAAGUCACAAACAUUGAGAAGAGUAGCAAAACUAACCAAUAGAUCAACAACUAUGUAAACCACUAACCGAAAGAAAAACAGGAGUGCAAAUGUCAGAAAUAGCUGGACUUGCCAUUUACACUAUGUAUUCACAUUCAAGCUAAUGUAUGUGAACCCAAUAACCAAAUAGGUUGCAGCAUUAUGUCAUCAAGGUCAGAACAACCUAGUGAGUUUAAACAAAAUUCAAUUGCCUAUGUCCUUAAGCCUAUUAGAAUGCAACAUAAUAUCAAAGAAGGAAGAUGUCCAGGGGCGAAAACACACACACACACACACACACACACACACACACAAAACUAAUGUCGGUCAUUUUAAUAUAGAACCUCAAACUUACAGGUUUUUUUUUUAAAAAUUGACAAUCCCUCAACUUUUGCUCAUUUUGGUUUGACUUAUUUUUAUUGGCUCAAAUCAAAUCACAAUUUACAAAUCAAAAGACUAUCUCAAUAUAUGUGGAAUAACUAGCUAGCUUCCUUUCGCAUAUUGGCAAAUUACGAAGAUUGUUCUUAACAAAGUUAGCUUCCUGUCUUGUUAUACUAAAAUUUAAAAAUGUCCAGUGCUUAAAGUGUAUAUGAGAUGUGGACACACCAUCGAUGUGAUGACCUAAUAAUGCAGGUGAUAUGUUACCUGUAUGGCAUACACGACUCCAUUGAUUGUGUAGAAAGUAGGUCUUAGCCCAUCAGUGGAUAUUGCACGCGCCUGUCAUGCCCCAUUUCGGAGAGACAAAAUAAGGAAGCAUGACCAAAUGAGAUCUAAAAGAAAUAAGCACUGAUCAAUACCCAGUGAGACAUACCUGAUAAUAUAUUUCAGCCCAGAAGAGAACUAGGAGUGCAUAAGUUGUGAAAAAUGCAAGGCCGGGUAAAUCAAGGAGAACAUGUUGAAAGAUCUGGAGCACAAGUGCUAUAAGCUUAAUGCAUUAUAUUCAAAUGAAUAUACCAGUAGAUAUUGCCAGGUUAAUUUUGUACCUCGGGCUUUAUUUUUUGCACACUACGCCGUAAAGCAAAGACAACCGAACGUACUAUAAGAAAGCAACAGAAAAGCAGUGUCAGUGUAAAAGUUAUCAAAGCACAAAAAUACCACGCUAUAAUGGGUGUUCACACAUACCGCCAUUCACCAAGAAAUUCAAGAAAUGGAAAACCUUCUGUGUUGUCCAUCCAUACUCAGGCACUCUGCAUUCGAUUCUAAUCAAUUGGAUCUGAAAUGGGAAAUUUAGUACAUAAAGUUAAAAUUUACUACAGCCUUUAGAUACUUCCUUUUUUUUUAGGGAGAACAUGGAAGUACAAAAUCAAAUUAAAAAAUUCAAACUCAUGACCUUAGAUAUUUUAUUUGUGUUAUUCCAAAUACGAAUAGAAUACAGAUAAUAUAUGGGUAACAGUGUGGAAAUCACGUUAGCCUCAAACAGACAUGCAAAUUAUACAACAACUAAAAUCAUGUUUGUUUGACAUAUAGAGAUAUCAUCAACAAUUAAAUAUGUACAACAAAUAAAUUGGAAGAUACCAAAAAGCAUGGAAAAAUAUGCAUAUUGUCAAACACCCUGUAGAAUUUUAUGUUUGAUUAUAUAUUAAGGUAUAUGAAUACCAUAAUCUAGAAUCAAAUCGAGUACUAUAAUCCAUAUCUAUGUCCAGAGGGUAAAGAUAUAGAGUCUAAAUUCACACCGAACAAGGAAACCUGGCGCAGUAAGAAAAGAUACAAAUUUUGGAAGCUGGAUAAGAUGGAUAACGUAUGAUUCAUUAUCACUCAAAUCAAUAAAUUAACCAAUUAAAUCUUGUUUUUAAUGACCCAAAUGCUAAACAAGUACCUAGUUAUAAUUGGCAUUAACUAGUCAGGCAAUAGGAAAAACAUCUCAAGGCAUUAAAGUGUUGCAGUUAGAGAUAUAGGAUCUUAAAGUGGAAUAGGGAUAGUUUUACAACACGGAAGCAUAUAGAGUUUUCCCAAAUUACCAUGGCUUUACUUACAAAAAUCAUCCUUGGACAUAAUUUUUUUUUCCCAUCUUUCUCAAUUAUCCCGGAACAUUUAGAAUUGUUGAAAUUUGAACUGUCGCACUAUACUCUCAUCUCAAAUAGGUUCAAAUAAUAUGAUUAACUAUAAAGCCAAGAUGGAAAAUUCACAGCAGAUAGUUGGCACAUAGAGUUGCUGUCUAAAUGAUAGAUCUAAAACCCCCCCAAAAAAAAGAAGAAAUCUCUUCCUUUACUGCAGAACCCCCCCUCCGAACCGUGAUCUGGAUUACACAUAUCGAUUUGUGGUGGGUUCUCGAUCUGGCUCACAAAAAGGGGGGAACCAGAAUAGUAGAGAAGCACUUCAAUUUUUCUAGAUCUAAUAUGUUUAGUUACCUGAAAAAAAAUGUUUUACUAGAUAGAAUAAUACAAAAGAGUCAUAUUCCUAUGGAAAAAAUUGAGGCAAGUCUUGAUUAGAAUAGAGAAUAUCCAAUCCAACCUUAAUGAAAGAAAAGAACUAUACGAUAACAAAGGUAAGUUAUUGAAUUUUUAAGAUCUGUACUGACAUUCUAAGCAAACCAAAUUCAGAAAUAACGUUUCGACUAAUCAUACGCCCCUCGUACCGCACUCCUAUGAAACUAGCGAAUCACAAUUCCGUACUCCUACCACACACCACAGCGUAUCCCAUUCCAGGCGACAUUGUACAAGACCUACCUAAAUUGGCACUGUAUCACACAAUUUAUUCAAUUUGUAUAACUCUCUUUCUAUUUUAGUAUAAUCCACAUCAUCCUAACUCAAUUCCAUGAGUUUUUGCAUCCAAAUUCAACAAUCAUCCCUAUUUCCAGCCCUAUGUGGUAAUAGAGCCUCAAUUGACAAUGUUGGGGAUUAAUUCAUAUAAGAAUGAAAGUGCACAGUUAUUGUUGCUAAUUUGGCCUUAAAAUCUUCUAUACCGACUUUCUACAAUUAUUGGAAUUAAAAUUAACACAUAUAUCCAAAUCCCCAACAUUAGAAUAAUAAUCACAUGAACAAUUGGAGAACCCUAACAGCAGAUCCCAGAUAUCAAUGGGGAAAACAAAUCGAAAGGAUCCAAAAUCGAAUCUUACGAGGGCCACGACUCCAACGAAUCCGUAGAGCGCGGCAAGGGCGUGGAAGAUCCGAUCCUGCCACACAGGCGAGUUGUUCAACUCCUCCCACCAAUCGGCGGCUGCGGCGGCCCUCCGUAGCGCCACCGCCUCCGCCGCCGCCGACGCCGACGAGGCCAUGGAUCGCCUUCCCGAAGUGUGCGUCCCCUCCACGAAAUCGAGAUUGGUGAGCAAGGGAGAGAGAGAGAGAGAGAUUAGGGUUAGGAAUAGGGAAUUAGGGUUAAUUAGGGUUAGGGAUUAGGGAUUGGAGACGAGAGAGAGGGAGAGAGGGAUCGAAGGAGAAAGGGCGAGAAGGCGAGAGAGAACAGGAGAGAGAGGAAAGGGAUUGCGGUGGAAGUUAAAAUUGAUUUCGAUUUCUCAGUAAUCGCCUGUACACGGUGCACCACGUCAUCUCUAAACCGCCCAAAAUUUUUUUUUUGGGUAUAUAAUUAGACGUUAUAAUUGUUUAAUUUUUGCUUCUUAAACAAUUUUAAUAUUUAUAAUUUAGUAUAAUAAUAUAUUUUAUUUACCAACUAAUUUAUUUAUUUUGAGAAAAAUAAUUUAGAGAUUGAAUACAGUAUUCAUUCUAAAUAUUCUGUCACACUCAUCAUCUAUCAAAUAUUAUAUAUUUUUUAAAUAUGCUGAAUAAAAUAUUCAUGUAUUCAAAUUAUUUUCUAUAUUUAUUUAUAGGAGCUGUUGAAAAUUCUUGUUAAAAUAUGUUCUAAUUUUGAGUUUUAAUUAUUUACAGUAGUUUUCAAAAAUAAAAUGUUAUAAAAAAAAAAUCACAAUAAAAAAUUGUGUAUAUAAUACUUAUAAUAAGAAAUUUAUCAAAUUAGAGAAAAGAGUUAGUACGGUUAGUAAAUUUUUUUAUAUUUUUUCGAAAAUGCUAAACUGGGACUUUUAUUAAAAAAAAGUAAAAUUUAAAAAAUAUAUAUCAGGAUUAAAAAAAUUAUAAAUAUUUUGUAAAAAUUGUGGGUUUCAAACUUUCAAUGUGUGAUGGUGGUUUCAAGAAUCCGUAGGAUGGAGGGUGGAUAGUGGAUGGUCCACGGAUGACGCGGUGGACCACGUUCAGGCAAUUGGUGUGUAAACGGGUGGGGGACACGUACGGCAUGGGAGGGGCGGUGGAUGGGAAUGGGAAAAAAUGGAUCGGGUUAGAAUCAAAAGAUCCGAAUCCGAUUAUUAGGCGCUUUAUGCUUUAGAUGUACUUUAAUAAGGUAGUGUUUGGUAAAUUUUGAAGGAUAAAGUUUUUUUUUCUUUCCAGUUUCGAGAAUAAAAAAUAUUAUGAUAUAAACUAGAAUAUUGUAAAUUUAUAUUUGGACACAUUUUGAUAUUUUUUAUAGUGUUUCAAAAAAGAUGUAGCAAAAAAAAAAAAGAGAAGUAUAAAUCUCAUCUCAACUAUCACCAAUUUUGAUGUAACUAUGUAACUUUUAAUUUAUUUUAUUUGAGUCUGUUAAUAACUAGUUAACUUCAAAAUUUAAAAGCACAUUUAUCUUUACGAAUUAUAUAGCAUAUUUUAUAUAAUUCACAUAAUUAUAAACCUAUUAAAAUAAGUAAUCAAUUUAAAUUUUAUACCAAAAGAGCCAUCAUAUGACUUAUCAAAUAAAUUGAAAGGUUGGAUACUUAAAUUAAAAUUUUAAAAGAUUGAAUAGUUGAAUUAAAAUGGUUUGUAGUUUGGGUAAAUUUUAUUAUUUUUACAAAGAAAAAAAAUAUAGUAGCAACCUUUGUUUUUUUAUGUUUCAUUGAAUUGUAAAGAAAAUGUUUUUUGGCAUAUAAAUUGUAUAGCAAGCUAGCUAACAAUACAACAACAAACCAACCGUAGGGCAGUUGGCGAAAGUUUUGAUGACUGGUAUCCGAAAAAUUCAAAUUUGAAGGCUAAUUGUUUCACAAUUCUAACUGAAUUUAUUUUUAAAAAUAAACGAAGCUGGUUAACUAUCUCUUUAAAAAACAAUACGACAAAAAGAAAAGCCAUAUGCUUAGAAUAUAAUCAUAUUAUUAUAGUAAUCAUAAUGUUGUAUGAACUAAUGAACUAAUAUUAUUAUUAUAGUAAUGAUAAUGGAAUACAUAGAAUCUAAUCUUAAAAUGGAAAUUAAAUUAAGAAAGCUUAUUUCUUUGUGGAAAAAGUUCAUAUACUAGGUUAUUGAUUAAAAAGCAUAUUUGGGUAGUAUUUUAUUUAUAAUAUAAUAUUGUAAAGUACUUUUAAGAUGAAUAUUAGCCAAACAACAUUCUCUUACAGACAACGCUUAUGUGAUAGAAUUAUCAAAUGAUAUAUAGUUUUUUUAAACAAAACAAUACUAUGUCCUAUAGUACUUCCACAAUAGCACUUAUUCAUACAGUUUGGUCAAACGGUCCUAUACUCAAACAACUUAUAUUUUACUGAAAAGAUAGAGAAAUAGGAAAAAAAAUAUAUAGGAAGAGUAAUUGAGGCACUUAGAGUAGUUUUUUUUUGAAAAUAUCAUCUUUUCCUACUUUGAGAAUUUUGGGGCAAUCUCAAGAAUUUUUUUUUUAAAAAAAACCACUUCGGAGAACUAUCACUAGCUAGGUUGAUAUCUCGUUGAGUGACACUUGUUUGUGACAAUAAAACUAUCAAAAUCAUUUUCACGGUAAUAUUUUGCACAACUUGGCACAAAGUGAAAGACAAAUUUUAUUCAUAGUAAAAGUUGGAUUAUAAGAAAAUGUGUACAAACCUAAAAAUAAAAAGCACAACCAAUAAGGAUAAAAUAAACAUUGAAGUCAGUGUACAAAAUAAUUGCGAAGGUGACUUAAUACGUUCUGUCAACUUUUCAAUAGGGUUUAUAUAUUACUCAAUUUCUCAAUUUUAUGUGCUUGUGGUGCAUGACCUCUCAAACUUGUACUAGUACAUACAUGACUCAACUUGGAUAUAUAGUCAACCAAUAUUUGUUAAAUUUGCUAUUUUCUUCCCACCAUCAAUAAAAACAAACCUUAGAGAUGCUCAUCCAAACAAAAAAAUAUUUUGUUUGAGGCAUAUUUUUUUGGGAAAAAAAAGCAAAAUACCAACUUUAUUCAUUUAGCUACCGUUUGGUUCGGAGUUAAGGAAAAACUAGUUAUUCCAGAAAUAAGGUUAAGGUGGGGUUAGAGUAUUUUUGUAUUUGGUUGGAGGUUGAAGUUAGUCUAGGAUAAUAAAAAAUAGUGUUUGGUUGAAGUAGGUAGGAUAAGAAGGAUAGUGGGUUAUUAUGAAUAGAAAAUAAUGUUUGGUUGGGGUUUGGUGGGGUUAGGUGGGAUUAGCUAAUCCGGAAUAACCCAUUUUUAGAAGUGUUUAGGGAUAAAAUGGGGGUUAAGGGGUUAUUCCACCCCUUAACCCCCAACCAAACAGAGGCUUAGGAUAAUGAACUUAGCUAAAGAGGUGAGGCAAUUGAGGCCUUGGGGAAAAAAAAACACAAAACAAAAGGCUUAAAAACAAAGAAGGAAAAGGAUAAGAAAAGGAGGAAUAGAAAGAAUGUGGAAGAUUCUAAGAACGGUGGUAAUUGACAAUGGUCCGUCUAGAGGCCCACAAUAUUUUGGAUGCCCGUGAGAACCUAGAUCAGGCUUGCAUUAGUAUUUUGGAAAAUCAUAUUGUUCCUCUCAAAGCCAGAUGAUCAUUAAUUACCAUGUGGCCGAGAGUAUAUAUAAUUAGAUCUUACAUUCGCUUGGGAGCCUUACUAUGCCUUGUUAAUAACUCCCAAAACUCUCUAACAUCGUCGAAGGAAUGUGUUAUAGACGGAUCGAUGCGUGAGCAUGUCAGCAUGUAAUAAAAGUAGAGGCAUUUGGAGAAUAGGUGAUCGCAUGUCUCAAACUCGUCCGCACAAAAAGAUACAAAGUUGGUUACCUCUCUUUCCAUAUUUUAGGAGGUUAUUAGUCAUAAGAUUUUUCUUUCUGAGUAGUAACCAAACAAAGAUUUUUAACUUUUUAUGGAAUUUUAGUCUCCAGAUAGAGGGCUCAGGGUAUCUCUUAGUCCUCUAUUCAAGAGGAAGUCGUAUAGUGAUUUGACUGAGAAGCAUUGGUUUGUUGUCCACCUUCGGUUGACUGAGUCUGAUCUAAGGCAAACAACUUGUGCACUCUCUAGCGUGAACCACUUGUGCACUUUCUAGCAUUUCUUUCAAUUAUCGGAACCUAUUCCUAUCUUCUUAGGAGGUAACUUCAACGCCUCUAAGGAUGCGUUUGGUUCGCGCUAUCUUUUAAUGAUUCCUAGUAAUCCAAUAAAAAAUAAAAAAAUAUGACGGUGUUUUGCUAAACGCACUAAGUAAUCUAGUUGGUAAUAUUAGAUUCACUUGCAAAUAAAAUUCACCCCAAAGUACUAAUCUGAUUCCCUUGAGGAAGGGUGGGUAUCCUCAUAUUAAUAAAUUGGGAUAAUCAUAAUAUGUCUAAUUUCUUUCUCUCUUCUUAUCCGCCUGCUAAUUGAUAUUAUUUUUCUUUACACUCUAACCUUAUAUCUCUCUCUAAACUUAUUUUUNGUGUUUGGCUAAACGCAUUAAGUAAUCUAGUUGGUAAUAUUGGAUUCACUUGGAAAUAUGAUUCACCCCAAAGUACUAAUCUCAUUCCCUUAAGGGAUGGUGGGUAUUCUCGUAUUAACGGAUUGGGAUUAUCAUAAUAUGUCUAAUAUCUUUCUUUCUUCCUACCCGCCGGCUAAUUGAUAUUAUUUUUCUUUACAUUCUAACCUUAUAUCUCUCUCUAAACUUAUUUUCUCUCUAAAAUUCAACUUUUUUUCUCUCUCUAAACGAAGCUUUCUCUCUCUCUCUCUCUAAAAUUUCAACUCUCUCACUCCCUCUAAUUUCGACUAUAUUUUUCUUUCUAUUUUUUUAAUUAUACUCUCUCUCCCUUUUUUCUAAAAAGAUGUUGAAACUUUUGGUAAUAUUAUAUAAAAUUAAAUAAAUAAAUAAAUUAAUUUUAUAUUUUUUGUAAUAUUAAAUAACAUGGCUAAUUAAUAUUACCGUGCGAACCAAACACACAAAUUUCACAUUUUUAGUAAUAGGAUGAAUAGGAAUAAAAUUUUCGAAUAUCUUUUAUUCCUAGUAAUCUUUCAUAAUGCGAACCAAACACACCCUAAUAAUCAUGUCCCAUCUCCAGUUCCCUCUUCCCCAUCGAUCCUUAGCCAUUAGGUUGUUCUUUAGAACUUAUUAAAGAUAUCAGGGAAGAUAACUUGUACGGAAACUUCAUCGAUCCUCAAGUUUGUCCCCGUGUGCGCGAGCACAUACUUAGUUUGGAAACUGCUUGUUUCAUAGGGAAGGAGGAGAAAUGUGUUUGUGCAAUUCAUCUACAAUAACAAGAUCCCGAAAGUUUCCAUUAUUGGCUUCUGGAAACUAUACUGAUGUGCAUGUGAGAACAACGACAGAGCUAGGGUCUUAGAAAAUUGCAUAUGAACUAUUUUGAGGUUGUUUUUUAAAAAGUCUAAUAAUAUAGGGGUUUUUGAGCAAAUAUACAUUCCAACUUUAUUUGAUACUAAAAUGUUUCAAAAUCAUGUUUGUAAUUUUUUUAAAAAAUAUCUAUCUUAUUUAAUAUAGGUCCUUAGGGUGAAAAAAUGAAGUAUUCGACAGUUAAGUGAAAUAUAUUGAACUAGAGCGAUAAAAUAAAAAUGUGUAAAACCAACGGUCAAAUUGAGGAUUGCCCAAAAUAAGUUUUUAAGCUAGUCGAACCUUUUGAAUUACGAAGUGACUGGGUCAAAAAUAUGUGUCAAAUUCAAGUUUAUUAAAAAAAGCUUGUGGUGAAAUGUUUUUUUAAAAAAUAGAUUUUCAAACCAUAAGGUGCGUGACACUUAUUUCUAACAUUAAUUUGUUUUAAUUUUUGGCUUGAAAUUUCAAAAAUUUUACAAUUAAAUCUCUUAACCGAAUAUAGUUGGCUAAAUAUUGACGUACUGCUAAUAUAAAAGCAAUAUGACAACUCAAAUAUCAUUAUAUCAUUAAUCACAGUAUUGUCAUAUUACUUUUAUAUUAGCUAAAAAUAGCAUAUAAUAAACUAAACUGGUUAUAAAACUUAUUCAAAUAACUUAGAAAGUUCGAUCUAGAAUUGCAACAAAUAAAAGUUUGAGGAUCAAAGUGUUACCUGGUUCAUGGUUUGAGGACCAAAAUGUAAUUUAGCUAAGAAAAAGGCAAUGCUACAUCUACAACAAUCUUUUGGUUGCAAUCAUUCAACUUGCCCAAUCCAAAGGAUAAAAUUUACUAUAUAGCAGCUACACCACAUCAUUUUUAUCCUGCCAAUCACAUCUCUUUUUUUACGAAAAAAUUAGAACAAAAAUAUAUAUAUUUUUAAAACCUAUGAUGGAAUGUGUGAAUUUUAGGGAAGUUAUUUGCUUAGUUGGGAAUACCACAUCAGUGAUAUGAAUAUUAUAUUAUUUUUAUAUUAGCGACAAGUAGCAUAUAAUAAACUAAAUUGGUUGUAAGACUUAUUGUAAUAACUUAAAAAGUUUAAGCCAAAAUUACAAUAAAUAAAAAUUUGAGAAUCAAAGUGUCACAGAUUCAUAGUUUGAGGACCAAAAUAUAAUUUAGCUAAAAAAAAAAAGCAAUGCUACAUCUACAACAAACUUUUGGAUGUAUUAUUCCCGCCCAAAGGAGGGAGCCUACUGUAUAGCGACUAUACCACAUCAUCUAUAUCGAACCAACCACUUCUCUUUCUUCGAGAAAAAAGUACAAUAAAAAUAUUUUCUUCUAAAACUAAGAUGGGAUAGGUGAAUCACAUGAGAGCUAUUUGAUUGGUUGGAAAUACCACAUCAGUAAUGUUACUAUUGCAUUCUAUUUUUUUUUUUUUGGAAAAACUUCAAAAACCCCCCUUGUGAUUUCGUAGUUUCUCACUUUGCCCUCCUGUGGUUUAAAGUGUAUCAAUUUGCCCCCCUGUGGUUUCGUUUUUAUCUUUUCGGUAGCUUUUUCGUUAAUAUUUCAUUAAAUUAUAUACAAAAAACUUCAGAUACCCAUCUAGAUUUAUCAAAUAUUCACUUUAGUACCCUUUAAAUUUAAUAUUAUUACUAAUUUAAGAAAAAAAAUAAUAAAAUUGAUAAGAAAAAGAGAAAAAAGAAACCACAGGGGGCCAAAUUGAUACAUUUUAAAUCCCGGAGAAGCGAUAAUGCGGUCGACCGCUUUCCCCCUACACGACGUUCCGCUAAUUCAACCCAUUGCGGUCCCAAAAGGGUCAGUGCUGCAACAUUUUGCUGCCGGUCACUUAACAUUAUGCUGAGUGAUAUCCCGCUUAAGCUCGAGCCAUGGGCCCCUAGGAGAUCUCAGCUGGACGUCCGUACGUUCGAACGUAUUAUCUUAAGUGUUAGUUACCUAACACUUGUGAGGAUAGUCGACCGUAUUAUCUUGUAACAUUUGGGAUUUGGGAUUAGGAUUAGUAUUUAAGAAAUAAGAAUUUUUACGUUGUAUUUUAUAUUAUAUGGUCGUUUAUAUGGUGGUCACAGGAUUUUAUUUUAAUUAGUGGAUAAACCACUGCUUUAGCCCUCGUGCGUUUCUGUUAGGCGUCGACGUUGGGAUUUGGGAGUUUUAUAUGUAAAACAUAAUUUAAUUUUUAACUUUUAUUUUCUAAUAUCUUCAAAAUUUUUUUACGGGACAAACUCAACUUAGUAGACAAAGCCAACACCGGCUUAAUCGAGGCUUUAGCAAGGGUUAAAGCCUGCGAGUGCUGACUUCCUUACGCAGUGUCCAUGACCCUACCUGUCCCCUCGUCAACUCUCCGCUGGAGCAUGGUUACCUCUUUCCGCUCCGGCUCUCUGUGGAAGCUCUGCCGAAGCCUGUGCUCUACACACCUUGCUCGCGACGGCUUGAAGAUGGGCUACCUCACCUCACGGGACGCUCGCUCUCACUCUCUUUCUCUUUCCCCUUUCGCGCUCUACUGCUCUCCGCUCCCUCGCUCUCUUUCGCUCCUUCGCUCUCUCUCGCUCUUUGUCUCUAUCGCUCUCCUCGACACGCCUUCUCUCUUCACAUCAUCCCAAAUUAAAUUCAAUCGAAAUCGUUCUUCAUUUUUUCCACACUCCAAUCUUCGAUGACACGAUCACCUAAUUAUAGUCGGUAACCUAGACUAUCAACAUCCUAGAGGGGGAAAGUCAAAGCAUCAAAGAAUCAAAUCGGAGAAUAGNCUUAUUAUUAUUAUUUUUUAAUAUAAACUCCAAAAAGUUUUAAACCAUUUGGUUUGGUUUUUAGUUAAAAAAAGAAAAAACUUCAAAUGCCACGUUAUGGUUUUGCACUUGCUUACUGUUGUACUCCAUGGUUUAAAAUAUUUCACUUUAGUAUUCUGUGGUUUUAUUUUUUUCUUUCUGUUAUUUCUUUCGUUAAUUUUUUUUCGUUAAAUUAAUAACAAAGUUAAAACCACAUGGUACUAAAAUAAAAAUUCGGUAAACUAUAGAGUAAUAAAGUGCAUAUUCGAUAAAUCAUAAGUAAAGUAUAUGAAGUUUUCUAUAUAUAUAUAUAUAUAUAUAGGUGCAGAAAGAAUAAAACGAAACCACAUAAUACUAAAAUGAUAUGAUUUAAAAUAUAUAUAUAUAGAGGUGCAGAAAGGGAAAAACGAAACCACAGAAUAUAAAAAUGAUAUGAUUUAAAUUAUAUGGUACUAAAAUGAGAAAGCACGGAACUAUAUAAGCGCGGUAUUUAGAGAAUGAUUAAAUUAGUGUGUUAAUAAUAGCUUUUAGGUACGCUAAGCUACAAAGAUUACUACUACUCCAGUAGGANNNNNNNNNNNNNNNNNNNNNNNNNNNNNNNNNNNNNNNNNNNNNNNNNNNNNNNNNNNNNNNNNNNNNNAAAAAAAAAAAAAAAAAAACAAAGCUCUCUUCGUCGCUUGUUUUCCGAUUAUAUGUAAAUCGCUCCUCUCUCUCUCUCUCUCUCUCUCUCUCUCUCUCUCUCCAAUUUCUUACAUUUUAUCAUUUCAUGUUUUACUAAUUAAUAUCCUACACUACGUGCAUCAAUGCUAUAGGCAUUGGUUACACAUUCCAUGUUACUUCAUCUUUUUUUUCUUUUUUUUUUGGGUAUAAUUGAGUUCCACUUAGGAUUUUAUUGAUAGUUGUUGUUGUUGUUGUUGUUGUUGUUGUCGUCUUUUUUUAAUGAAAUUUUGUUUGUAAUGUAAUGCUUUUGAAUUGCCCACUAUGUGUUUGAGGAAAUGUCUCUGUGGAGAUUUUCUCAAAAAUUAAAAGGAAAGGUAAAAUGGAUGGAGACUCUCUCAAUUACAGGCCAUUUUGAAGCAACAUUUUGUAAUUUACACCCUCAAUGUAUGAAUGUUUCGUACUCCACUCCUGCUUCGAUUACGUUUGUUCGUUUGGUAGUUUCUUUGAAGGAUCAAACUGAGUUAAAUAUGCAGUUCCUGUCACCAAAUUUGUUUCAGACACACAGAUACACUCACGUGCUUCGUCGCAAAUCUACUUUUGUAUAGUAAACAUUUUACUUCAUCUCAUUAGCUGGUUGCCUCAGAUGUUGUUCCUCCGCAGCAACCCUUGCGACAUGAACUCGAUCCCUCAUUCUCCGCUCUUUCCUUUUUCGGUAGUAGUGGUUCACGCAAAACAUCCAAAUCUAGCCGCACUUCGUCUUUCAUCGCCGAGCUCGAACUAGCAGCACCAAUGCAACUCGUCUUUUGACUACUUGUUUCAGAAGCUGUUUUUAUUGUCUUUGCAUUCGGCCUAAGCAGUAGCAUGCUGUUGAAAAUGACCGCCAAUGACGUGCCCAUAUCCGCAACAACAGCUGCCCAGAGGGACGCGACGCCUCCGAAGGCCAAUGCAAAGAAUAUUAUUUUCACAAUUAAGGACAAUGCCACAUUCUGGUAGACCUUGCCGAGAGAGCUCCUUGCUAAUUUUACGGCUUCUGGUAUCUUACGUAGGUCGUUCGACAUGAGUGCCACGUCAGCAGUUUCGGUCGCUACUGCAGACCCUGCGACCCCCAUGGCGAUGCCUACAUCGCUUGUCGCCAGUGCCGGUGCAUCGUUGAUCCCGUCCCCGACCAUUGCGGUUAGGCCCCACCUCUCUCUGAGCUCUGCGAUUUUCUUCAUCUUUCCUUCUGGCGAUAAGCUCGCUUUGACUUCGAUAUUCUCCCCGAUCUGCACAACCAAGUUAAAAUAAUCCCAUUGAAUCUAUUUCUGUAAGGAGACUAUUACAAAAUCAUCUGUUGACAUAUAUGCUCUUGUAAAUAUGGACUUCUAAAGUUGAUUUUGUGUUAGAGAUAUUAAAGAGGUGCGUUUUUGUAUUAGAGAUAUUAUGUGUAAUAAAUUUCGUAUUCGGUGUCGUAAAUGAAAAUUCAGGUCUUAUAGGACAUAGAUAUAAAGAGGAUUUCUUGGUUUUCAUACCUGCUGUUGGAUUAUUCUUGCCGCCGCUUUCGAAUCACCAGUUAGAACUGUCACAUGGAUACCUUGCUUCUGGAAUAUCAUAGUCAUAGGCAGUUUCAUUAUAUUAUAACUUUGAGCCGAUGGGAAAAAGAAACUAUAAAUUACAGAAACCACCCUUUCAUUUUCCCUGGAUCUUUUGCCAUUAUGGUAUCAACCUUGCAUUUUACUCUCGUCUGAAGAAAGUCUGAAAAUUUGUGACCAAUAGUAAAUUCAGCUACCGAACUUAAUAAGAAUUAGUUGGCAGUUAACAUGGAUUGUGUACUUAAAAGACUUCUUUUACUGGAUGUUUCUAAUUUGACUGUUUAUUACAACAAUUAUUCCAUUCAAUGUUUCUUUUCUACCAUGUUUCAUCCAGAUAAUCUCUCAAACUUAUAUUAUUAUGUUUUGAGUUUGAAUUAAUAGUUAGCCCAAUUCUUCGUAUUUUUCUGAGACGAGUAAAAUGGAAGGUUGUUGUUUAAUGAAUUAAAUGUACAGGGCUAAUUGAGACAAAAAGGGAAAGUGCAAGGGUAGUCGUAUAAAUUAGCCAAUGAAUGAGAGAUCUUUCGUUGUUCUUUUUGUUUGUUCUUCUACCUGUAGUUCAUUAACUGCAUCUGCUGCUUCCUCACGGAUUUGAUCUCCAAGGCAAAAGUAUCCAAUGAAGCGGUUAUCCAUCCCCACAUAACCAACUGUUAUACCUUCCUCCUUGAUAUCAAACUGACCUGAAACAGGAAGAAAUUAAGCUAUAAAAGCAGUAUAAAUAUUAAUUUUCUGCAGUUUUAAGCACCUGAUAUAAUUCGAAGUAGUUUGACCCAAUGUCAUUUACAUCCUUCGAGUUUCAAUUUCAAGAAGUCAGUUCCUGAAGUUUGUUCCGCUUAACAAUUUAGUCUUUUUGUUAGUCUACAGUCUGACUAAGACGCCACAUCAGUACAAUCAAAGUUUGCUGACAUUGAUGUGGUGUUACUGUAGGCCAAAUUUGUGCAGGCAGACCUCUGGGACUGAACUGUUACAAGUGAAUCUCUGCGGUGGUAAUAGAUUUCAAGAUCAAACUUGAAAGACUGAAUUUAUAAUUAACCCAAUUGGAAAGAUGGAGUUCCAUUACUAUUUGUAAGCCAGCGUUUGGCGCUGGCUAGCUUUGCAUUCCCGAUUUCAAUAACUCGUCCAUCUACAUUUCCAGAAAUGCCCUCGCCUGGAACUAUCUUGAAAUCUUUUACUUCUUUACUUGGUUCAAUUCCUUGUAACCUCGCAUAUUCUACUAGAGCUUUUGCCAUGGGGUGGCUUGAGAGGUUCUCCAGGCUUGAAAUCCUGAAGAGUUAGUGCUUCAGUUUCAGAAAAUUAUGAAUUAUGUUAUGUAUGAUAAAUUGCAUGAAUAAUCUCUGUAUAUUACAUGAUAUUUUGACUUAGUUGCUGAAAUUUUAACUGAAACAUUCUAACACCUGUACCUUCAGGGAUAUUGCAAUCACAUGUCCGGCUGUCCAAAAUACUCAAAAGUUUGUUUAGGUGUGCUCGACGCAUGGCUCUUUUCUAUAAGAUAACCAUUUUACCAUUAUCUUGUCAGGGUUAAAUUGGUCGUCUAAUAGAAAAAAGAUCAUGUGGAUUAACAAAAUGCUUUGUAUAUGAGUAGCUUAAAAUGCAUUUGCAAUAUACUUGAAAAUUUAUGGAUUAAAAUGUUUGAGUCAAAAGAUCAAGGACUAAGGCAGAAUAUCUUGAUAGUAUAGGGACUAGCCAUGCGUCUUUCCCUAUUAUAUGUCUAUAGAUUCAAUACAAUUUUUUUUUUCCUUUUUUUGGUCAAUUUUCUUACCAGUAUAACAGGUGGUAAAUAUCCUCCUGUGGGUAUACAUUCUGCAAUUCCACAACCUGGAAUGCGCCUUCUGUUAGUGUUCCUGUUUUGUCAAAUGCCAUUGCUUUCACUUUUGCCAAUGCUUCCAAGUGACUCCCUCCUUUUAUGAUUAGACCCAUUUUGGCAGCCGCAGAAAGGCCGCACACUUUGGCUACCGGCGUCGAGAUUACUAAUGCGCAUGGGCAUGCAACUACGACAAGUAUGAGAGACAAAUACAACCACCGGUGGAUCUCAUGAAGUCUUAAAGCCAAUGGCACAAUCGCAAUUACUCCAGCAAUCAACAAAACCCCUGGUAAUUUUGCAAAUAGUUACUUGUACCUUGCUUCUCAUGUAACAAAAUAAAUUGGCCAUCUUGAAAUCCACUUGUUUUUUGAUUUUGCAACUUUGACCUGCUUUUCUGAACUUUGGACUGAAAAAUACCUCAUGUUUAUUUAUGUAUACUUACGUAUUCAUUAAUACGUAGAGGUAUACCUUUUCCCACAAAUGGAUUUCUCUUUACUCAAAAAAAAGAAGUGUUUAUGCCUCUGUAAUGAUGCAUCUCAAAUAUACUGUCAUUUAUUUUAUAGAAAUGUGCAUACCUUCUAUUGUGUAGCAUAGCAAAAUUAUCUUGAUCAUUGAUGUUAGGUUGCAAACAAACUUCCAGAUAGUAAGAUAGAAAAUUCUUUAAUGUUUGUGUAAUUACUUUAUAGUCUUACUGUGUACCUGUAAGUGCAUCUAUUUCUUAUGAAUUGGAAGAUUAAAUAACCAAGAGAGUGUACAUGUAAGAUGAGAUAUUGAGGUGGAUGUGCAGUGACCUUUGGUUCCUGCAAAAGGUUACUGUUUGAUCCUAUCCAAUGUAAGUUUAGCACUCAUAGAUGAUACAUGGAAAUUGAUUCAAAUGCUUUGGGCAUGUGCAAUGCGGACCAUGACGUGCAUAGUUGAAGGAGUUUCAAUUUGAAGGUGCCUUAAAAGAGGAAUGGGAAGAACAAAGUUAAUAUUAGAGGAAGUAGUGUUCAAGUACAUUAUAGGCAAAACAGAGUUGAAUGGAUUCAUUCAAUCCGUAAAAUUGACAACAAAUACUUACCACUGAAGGCUUAGUUACUGUUUUUGUUAUUGUUUUAUUGAUGUUUAAUAUCGAAAAUUUAUCAAUCUGUACAGCCUUUUCAUAUGAAGGCUUUUCAAGUUUGGUUUGUUCUCACUUGAUUUAUAUCUUACCAGAGAAACAAAGGCUCAAUGACACUAAUUAGUAUUUUUGGGGUAUUAUUGUGCCUAUGCUGUCACCAAAUCUUGGCAGGAAUGUUUCAUUUUAAAUAGUUGCUCUUGCUCUGUGUCCUCAAUCAUUUAAUGAUUUUUGAGUUUUAACAUCUUAUGGGGUGGGGAUAUUUUACUUUCAGAUCAAAUUUCUGAUGCUCCUUUUACAUGACAUUCGUAUAAUAUAAACAAAUAUAAGUAUGCCUAUGAGAUCAGACAUUUUAACUAUUUUGACCUGUUUUCAUUGAAUCUGUUUUGUGCUAAUUAACCUACAACACUAUCAUUUUGAAAAUUGAAACCAAACCUGGUGUGUAGUAUUUUGCAAACUUCUCUAUGAAUUCUUCUAUGUUUGACCUUUGAUUCUGAGCAUCUUCGACGACCUUCACCAUUCUCGCAACAGCCGAAUCAUCUUUUAUUGCCUUAGCAGCCACAUUAAUAAACCCUGCAUAAUUUAAAAAACCCACAACUUUUAGUGUUUGGAAAACUAUUGCUAAAUUGCAUUAAGGUCCUCAACCUUUUGACGUAGUUCCAACUUAGUCCUCAGCCUUUAACUUGUUAUCCUUGGGUCUCUAACCUUCAAAUUUCUUUUGCGAUCACACCUUUUCUGUUAAGUUGCUCCUUUUAAGAAAAUUGAAAUGUUUAUGUAAUUGCCAACAUACUUACCACGUUAGCUUCUUUUGGAUUUUGCGUUUGUGUUAGCAUUGAUUUUGCCUAGAUGGCAAUUAUACUUUUGUCAAAUUUAACCUAGGAGCUCAACAGAAAGGGUAAGAUGUCAACGAAAUGCAAAGGUUAGGAAUCUGAUUGUAACAAUCUAUAGGUUGACGACCGAUCUGAAACUCCGCUAGAAGGGUGAGGACCUCUGUUGCAAUUUACUAGUGGAGAUUUUACAUAUAUCCCUGCAAAAUCAUCUAUUUACAUUCGCAUCUGUUAUCUUAAGCUAGGACAUCAUCUGCAUCAUGGGGGAAGUGAGCUCUCCAUUAGAACUUUUUUUUUGAGUUUUUUAACAGAAGAGAUUUCCAGGGAUAUAUAUACGUGUGUGUGUGUGUGUGUGUGUAAAUGCAUCAACUGUUAGCAUUUAGGGAAAGUUCACCUGUGAGGACAACUGUUCCAGCCCAUACAUUUGAACCUUUCUGUUUAUCCACCGGCAUAAACUCUCCAGUCAAGCUACUCUCAUCUAUAGAGCUUUCCCCAGACACUAUUACGCCAUCAACAGGAACCUGUUCACCAGCUUUAACUGAAACAAUUGUAUCAAUCCUAAUAUUUUCCACUGGUACCACUUCUCCCGUUUCUGCAAUAACUGCCGUUCUAGGUGCUGAGUUUAUAAGUGACUCUAGUGUAGUUCGUGCCUGAAAAGAUGAGAAAGAAAGCUCAAGCCAUUUUUUCUUAACUUUAUUCGGGGUUUUACAUAUAUGUUCCUGCAAAAUUAUCUAGUUUAUAUAUGUAAGUGUGUCGAUGUAAAGUCUGAGUUUUCAUAUGUACAUGAAAAUACAAUUUCUGGCAAAACUUUUCUUAAAGGGUACUUGUUUCCGUAUUCAACUAUGUUGUUCAGAGAGAUAUAAACAUGCAAGAAAUGAAUUUGUGGGGGCAUGAAGAAAAUUUAGAAUAUAUUUAGAGAAAGAGAUGAUUAUGUAGGGUAAAUAACAUCUUUUUAUUCUUUUGGCAUGCAUAGCAUCUUGGCUUGCAGGAACUUGGUAGGAAAGAUAUCUGUAUUUUUUUGAAUAUUCUCAUCUUUUAACCUUGUCUGUAGACAUUUCUUCCAGCCACUCCGCGAAUGUGAAGAGGAAAACUAUUGAUGCUCCUUCAAGGUAAUCUCUGAGCCCAAUUGCUCCGAAAGCUACAUUGAAUCAAAAUUUGCUUUUGUUCCUGUCAAUUAUUUGAGUAAACCCGUUCGCUAGUAAAGCGAAGUGCUUGUUUAGCCUGACUUUUGAAACAGCUCCACCGAGGAAGCAAAAGUCAGGUGUUUGACAAAAUGAAUUUUUGAAACUUCGAACUGGUGCAGAAGGUUGAAAUGAGCUUCUUGGCUAGCACUUUUUGCAAAAGUCAUGUCCCUGCCAAACGAGCACAAUACUUCUGCAAAAGUACUAGCUUCAGAACAAAAUGUCUGAAGCUUUUGUUAUCAUGGGAAGUUUAAAAAUAAGAUUAUGGAAUCUGAUACUAGAUGCUUACAGUUUGGAUUUUGUACUACCGCCAGAAGAAGACAAUUUCAACAAAACAGCUGUUUGAAGACAAUUUCAAGUUUCAACAAAACAGCUGUUCAUUCUUUUUCAAACGAAUUUUUAAGUAAAGAGCAUGUCUGCAGAAGUUUCUUCUAGGCCAAGCAAGAUCAAUAUCUCACAACAGAAUAUAGUAAUUGCGACAUAAUAUAAUAAUUCUCUUUCUUUGUAGAGCAGGAUAAAUGGGUAGAUUGGGAACUAACUUGCAAUCACCAUUAAGACAUUAAUAUCCAGUACGAAUCGACGAAUAGCAGCAAUGGAUCGUCUCAACAUGCCCGGAAUUCCAACAGCAAUAGAUGCCAAUGCGACCCAAAUUAAUGGUUGGUAAAUAUAGCUGAACAUGGCUAUGAUUAGUAGCAUUCCACAAGCUAUUAUAUUCAAGCUUGGCCAUGGCUUCUUUCUCUCUUUAACUUUUCCAAGCUCUCGGAUGUUGGCAUUCAGCUUCGCCUUAUUCAGCGCAUCAACUGUCAAAGAAAGACAUAUAGAGUCAGUGCAUGUUUUGGCUGGAUUACUUCGGGAAGCAGCAGACAGGUGUUUGGCAAACAAAAAUUCUGGAGCAGACAAAAACUGGAACAAGCUUUUGACCCUCAGAUGCAGAUGCUCCAACUUUUUCUACUUCUACUGUUGGAAGCUAUUGGUCAGGAUAUCAAUGAAAAAACUGUUUGGAUUUUGUCGAAUAGCUUUACUUAACAGCACUUUUGCAAAAGCUCCAUCCGAGCCACAGAAGCAGAGAAGCCCUUAGCGCCUCUUUCUCCUUGCUUUUAAUACUACCCUAUAAAGCAACAAUCGGAUGUUUGGCUAACAAAAAAAUUGAAGCUUUUGGUGUGGCGGGAAGUUGAAAGAGCUUACAGAAAGAUGUUGUUUGAGGAAUUUUAGUUGAAAAAUAGUUAGUGCUUUUUCGACCAGUUCUACUUAAAUAGUAUAUCCAUAUAUGUCCUGCUGGCCCAGAAAGAACUGUACUGGAAUUGGUUUGGCGAGAAUAAAUUGGGAAGGUAAGUAAUUCAUUUAUCAAUCACCUAUAUGAGAAGCUGGAACUUGCGUAGGAUCAUGGAGGACGAUAACGGUCUUUGCCACCGUAUUUAUUGAGACAUUCUCAAUUCCUUGUAGAGGUUCCAACAGCUUAUGAACUAAAGCAGCUUCUGAAGCACAGCAGAGCCCCGAUACAGAGAACGUGGUCUUCUGCAUGACUGAUGGCAGUCUGGGUUCGACUUUGUCCGCCAUCUUCUAGCUAAAACUAUCAUAUCAAUUUACAAUGAUUCAGUAUGCAAUGAAUUAAGGUAAUUAUCCUUAGGCUUUUGUAGCAACUAGCAACAGGAGCUGUUUUCAGAAGCUCUCACCUUGUUUAGAGCACUUGUUUGUGCAGCUAAUCCCUUGUUUCCUCUUUCUAAAGCUGUAGGUUCAGAUUCUGCAAGAGUUAUGGGAGAAUGAAAAGAGAUGGGAGCAGGAUGGCAUGAUUUGAGCCUUUGAGGUAAGCUACUAGUUUUAAUACUUAAAUUUCUCUUGACUUACUAAUAUUUGUUAAGAAAAAUACUACUUGUGCAUUAGAUGUCAAUUAAAUUAAGCGUUAAGUUGGGGAUAGAAUACUAGCUGAUUUCAUGAGAAACAGGAUAAGUCACCAUCCCUUUCUUAUUUUAUUUUGUGCGUGAGGUCAAAGUGAUAUCUUGCCAGUUAUCAUUAGAUUAUAAAAUGUUUGUCUCAUAUGGUUUCUCUGGAAUGGCAUCUUCCUCUGUCUAGAACAUUUUUCAGGAAUUGAGAUUAGCUUGGCCAUUUUAACCUUGUUGACUCUCUCUCUCUCUCUCUCUCUCUCUCUCUCAAAGCACUAUUUAGCCAAUUUUGAUCUGGUUAGGAGUUGACUAGUGUUAAGAUCUGCCUAUCUAGUUUUUGCCUGGUUAGCGUAUUACUGGAUCUCUUUUGAGAUGUUAUUCCUCUUUAAAAGGUUUAGACUCUCUAUCUCUCUCUCUUAAAAAAAGAAAUUCUCUCUCUCAAUACCAUUCUAGCCAGUUUCUACCUGGUUAGGAGUUGACCGAUCUGAAAGAUCUUUUUUUUUUUUGAGAAAUAGGUAGCACGCUACCCGCUUCGUUUAUUUCAUUUAGAAAUAAACUUAGCUGGAAAUGUGAAUCAACUAGGAUUUGAACUUGGAACUUCGGAUACCAACCACCAAGCCCUUUGCCACUUGCGUUAGGGACGGUCGGUGAUCUGAAAGAUCUUGUUCAAAGCUUCUCCUGAUUAUUAUAUCACUAAACCUCUCUCUCUCUCUCUCUCUCUUUCUCUCUCUUUCUCUCUCUCUCUACACACACAAACAGAAAAGCACAGAAAUACACAAGAAAUAAAAAAAAAUCCUGUUUCUAUCACUACAGUCUUGCUUCUCUUUUCUUAUGUUUGACAAUCUGCUUCAACCAUUUCAUACAUACCAAUAUCAAAAGAAUAAAAGAGAAGAUCUUGAUGUUUAUUGCAUUCAUUCACAGAGAAUAAACUACGAAUCGUAUCGCAUUGUAUUGUAUGUUCUACAUUUUAUUAUAUUACAUUUAUGUUCUAAAAUAUACAAGAGAAAACAAAGCACCUUACCUCCUCCAUAGACCGCCGUUAAACAAACACAAAUAGGUGGUAUUUCAUUUGACUCCGAGGAUAAUUGCUCUAUCUUCUCCUCCUUAUAUUAACAUGCUCUUUUCGACUCUUCCUAUGAUUUUAUGGUUAGUAAUGAUCUCUCAUUAUUUCUUGGUUAAGACAAAGAAAACCCGGUGUAAAUGGUUGGAUCCGAAAGUUAUCAAUCGACCCUGGAGGAUUUCACUCUUUUUUCUUUUCUUUUUUUUAACUCUUGAGAAUAUUGAUUAAGGAGGAAAGUUUUUAAAAUUGUAAACUACGAAGAUUUGUUUAGAAAACAGUGAAAAUACAAAUGUUUUAAUCACAUUUAGUUAAGCAUGAUAUUAUAUCUUAGCCUUCUUGUGUCUGUGUCCUAUUUUGUCCUCGUUGAAUUUGAAUUUAAAUUUGGAUCUUUUUAUGAAACAUAAGGCAAUUUGAUCAUACAUGUAGUGAAUUAUUUUGUUAAGCAUCAUCUUCUCCCAUAUUCUUGGCCUUCUCAUUGUUUCAUGUGCAUAUUUCACCACCACCCAAAAAUAAAAAAUAGAAAAAACAACUAACAUAACUACCUAUAUAUCUCAGGUUUUCACAACAACUAAAACUUGAACAAUGAGAGAGAAUUAAAAAAAAAUCAUAAUCAAAAUCAAACAUUAAACAUAGAACAAUGAGGAAGGACAUUACUAUUUCAUCAAUUAAUCACCCUACAAUUUGCCCUUAUCUCUCCAUUACUCCCAGUAGUCACAUUAAUAUAUCCCAUCUUCACCAUUGCCGUGGCGAAACUGCUCAAGAACAACGCCGAGUUAUUCGCAUAUUGCCUCACCAGCGCUACUGCCGUCGUGUUGACCGACGUCAGCAUCUGGUCGGAGGUGAACAGCCCCCGGUUCGCCAGCAAAUUGCUGUAAUAGCCCGAGUCGAAUGCGUUCGGGCUCGUAAGAUCGAUCGGCACGCUUAAGCUCGCGUUUGAGCUGCCCUGAGGGCACUGGCGCUUUAACUGCGACGCGUACGUCGAGUUGAGGAUCGGAUCCUGGCUCAUCGUUGAGUUGAAGCUGAAUAGCCUGCUGCUGAACGAGCUGCAUUGGGAGUAGCCGAUCGUGUGGGCACCUAUGAGCAGAAAUAUCGCGUUAUUAUGUAAUAAUGCACGUAAGGACGCACAAAGAAGCACAAGUUAAGAGUUUAGCAAAUAACGAAAUUUUAGCUUUUCCAUAGUGUGAAAUUGUUGUUUGGGCCUUUUCUAUUACUUUGUAUGUAGACUAUAGUAGAUGAAAUUUAGAACAAUGUUACUUUGUAUUACUUUCUCAAUCGCUCGAUUAUUGCUUUUAGGUAAAAAAUAUAUGUAACUUACUUGAACUAUGGAUCAUUUUGAAUUAGCCAUACGAUCUUUCAAAUUUUAAUUUUACUAUCCAACCUUUCAGUUUGUCUUAUUUGAAUUAGUCAUUAAGCUAAUUGCUUACUUUAAUAAAUUUAUCAUUGCGGGAAUUGUAUGAAAUAUACUAACUAAAUUUAUAAAGAUGAACGACGUAUUUAAAUUUUGAAGCAAGAAUGUUGUUAACUCACUCAAAUUAAACAAGUUGAAAGGUUGACUAGUAAAAUUAAAAUUUCGAAAAUAUCGUCGGAUAGUCGAAUCAAAAUGCACCAAAUUUGUACAUAUUUACCUUGUUUUUAUGCGUUGGUCUACUAGACCAGGUCCAGGGUAUAAUUUCUCAUGAACAACACGCUUUAUAAUUUUAAGUUUUUGAUGCUUUUUUAUCGCUCAUCUACUAAACUCUCUAUCAUCCAAAAGUAGCAGCUCUACUGUGAAGCUUUUUCUUUCACCAGCUUUGUUACAACAUCACUUGCGUCGAAGUACAUAUUCGCUUUUUGAAUGAUCGAUAUAGGAGGUACAUGUACCUGAGAGGGUGAUCAUUUCAUCUUGGGUGAAUCCUUUGUUCGCAAACAUCUGAGUGAGUUGCGUGAGGUCCGAUGACGGCGGCGGGAGAUUUCCGAGCGUUUCGAGGGCCACCGAAACCCUCCCAUCCUUUCUACCCGCGGGAACUUUGUAUGAAUAGCCUCCCGUCUAACCAAAUCAAUCAUCGAGUACAGAAAACAAUAAUCAUAACGACAAAAUAAACAUAUAUAGAGGAUCGAUUUGCAGUUAAACGAAGCACUUCAUGGUUACUUAAAACUAGUUAGGUGUUUGGCAAAUAAAUAGCUGAAUCUUCUAUCAUGGCAAAAAAUUAAAGCGCUGCAUGCGACUAAGUGAAAAAAACUUAAGAAAAGAAAUAAUUGCAAAAGCAUUUUAUGCCAAUUCUAUUGCCUUAACCUGAUUUGCGCUUUUAUCGGUCGAAAACAUAAUUAAGAAGGGAGCUACAUAUAAUCUUUUUUCGAUAUAACUAUACUGAUACUUACCAGAACAAUGCUAUCUCUUGCUGCAAAUGCUAGUAUAUCCGCACACGAAACGAUUCCCUUACAUGUUUGCUCCAGCCGCGCCUUUGCGUUGUCGAUGACUUCGAACCCGCGCAGGCUUUUGUUAGGGGGCGCGUCCUUCUCUGCUGUGUUAUUCGUUGUUGAAUCGAUGAGAACCGACGCAUCACAACCCUAAACUUCAUACAUAAAAUCGUUCUAUUAUCUUCUCAUAAAAGGAUUAAAUCACCAUCAACACUUAAAGAUGGAGAAUGUUUGUUAUUCACUAAGCAGGUGUACGACGCCAUGAUCAUUUAUUCAAGUAAAAUUUAUUCGCUCUUUCGAUAACAAAACUUACUCUACUAAUCUUAAUCCCUCUCAAACAAGUUGGUUAGUAAUACAGAGAGAGAGAGAGAGAGAGAGAGAGAGAGAGAGGAAUUUAAGAGACCAAACAAUGGAAAGAAAAGAAAGGAGAGAAAUUAAAGAGAGGUAAAGAGGGGACUAACCCUAACAAAGCAAUCAUGAAAGUGCAUCCUUAAAAGGCCAGCAGCUAAAGCUGCAUUGGCUGUCACUGCUUUGGUUACCUCAUCCCUCACAAUGCUCUCAGCUGAGGGGCAUGUGGUGUUGUAGAAACCAACCUGGAGUUGUGCUUCUGACACUGAUGAUAGUAUCUCAGUAAAGCUCAAUACACACAGUGCUAGAGAGAGAAACAUAUUGUUUCCUCUCUUAAAUGCCAUCUCUCUCUCUCUCUCUCUCUCUCUCUCUCUCAAACUCUCUAGACUUGCAAAGUACUCUCUAGUUCUAACUUAUAUCAGUGACUAAUUGGCAAUAUAUAGCAUGGUUUUGUGUGUGUGUGAGAGAGAGAGAGAGAGAGAGAGAGGAGAGAUUAUUGCUUGGAUUUGGACCACUAUUCGAUUUAUGGACCACCCACAGAUUUGCCCUAUGUUCCAUCCAAGUUUUUUAUCCCCACCACUAUUAAAGGAAAUAUAUGUUCUCAACAUAAGAAAAGUAACUAGCUAUAAUUUGCUCAGUCCUGGUUCUUUUAUGAUCAUACUUUUGCUUUCAGUUACAAUCACAUCUAGUAUAAAUAAAAGGUCUUAGAGUUUUGUUGUGGUAGGAAAUAUAAAUAGUUUUUUUUAGCUCCAAAAAUUAAAGCAUCAAUUUGAAGUUUCUAAUUUUAUUAUAUUAUAUAUGUAGUUGUGGAGACCAUAAUUGGUGUGGGAGGAAUUUAAGGAUUGGUGGUGUGGAAGGAAAGUAGAAGUCCAGUGAGAUUUAAAAGCAGUACUUCUAUUUUAUUAUCAUGUAAAAAACUAAUUGCUCUAAAAGCUAUAUAAAAGAACAACCUGUUUUUCAAUUUAUUUAUUCAAGCAUUUCCCUCACUUUUGUGGCUUAACUUGGUGAGAUUUAAACUCUGGAUUUUCUACGUUAAUAUAAUGUAAAACCACCAAUUAUUAUAUUCUGUUUGGAUGUAUGAAUAUCUUAUUUGAUAUAUUUUUUAGUUUACUCAAGAAGCAUAUAAUACUUGGUAGUUGAUGAGUAUGAGUAAUUGUCUAGAAUGAAUUACACAUUUGGCUUUUAAAUUAUUUUUAUUGGAAAAAGAUGAGUUAUUCCAUAAUUACAUGUGCUAUCCUAAUAGAUCUUGGAUAUUAAGACCUUUCAUAAAACAAAAAUCAAACAUUUGGUUUUCAAUUGCACCAGAAUUUUUUUAUGUUGAAUAAGUUAUUGUUAAAUAUCUUAUUAUAAUAGGCAAAUAAGACCUAAAGGCCUAAGGAAACAAUAUUUUUAUUUAGGUAAAAAUAUAUAGAACUUAUCUGAACUAUGUACUAUUUUGAAUCGGCUACCCAAACUUUCAAAAUUAUGAUUUUACUAUCCAAUCGUUCAAUCUGUUUGAUUUGAAUCAGUCAACGAUACUCUAAUUUCAAAAUGUAAACCAAUUACUUACUUUAAUAAAUUUAUAAUUAUGAAAAUCAUAAAAAAAAAUAUUAAUUAAAUAUAUAAAAAUAAACAGGCACAUUUAAAUUACAAAAUUAAAAUAUCAUUGACUGAUUCAAAUCAAAUAAAUUGAAAGAUUAAAUAGUAGUUAUUUUAAAAUAGUUCAUAUAAUAUAGGUCAGACAAGUUCAUUAAGUUUUUGCUUUUAAUUUAGUAUCUCAAAAAGGUGGUCCAUAUAAAUAUAUAUAUAUAUAUAUAUAUAUAUAUAUAUAUAUAUAUAUANNNNNNNNNNNNNNNNNNNNNNAGAGAGAGAGAGAGAGAGAGAGAGAGAGAGAGAGAGAGAGAGAGAGAGAUGAGAUGGUGCAUGGAUCAAAGUAUCAUCCAUGUAUUGAGAGAAGGUGAUCAGGGGACAAGAGAGGGAGGGACCUCAAAAAGAGGGGAGCAAUAUAUUAUUAUAAGAAGAAGCCAUGUGAGUGGUGUAGGUGGAAGCCAAAAGAAGACCCAUGUCUUAAGGUGAGAGGGCAUUGGGAGUAGAGAAGUAGUGAAACAGUACAUCUUUGUUUUUUUCUGUAUUGCAGUAGUAGUAGCCAACAAGCAUCAUCUACUGACACCAUGAAAGGAUUUAUAAGAGUCAGCUCCAUCGAUCGUGUCCCCUAUGUCUAUCUAUCUAGGAAAUUUCCUCCUCAAGGUACAGUAUAUAUAUAUAUACAGAGAGAUGAACUAGCAUGCUGUUGAUAGUAUAUAAAUAGUUUUUAUUAUCUUUUUUUUUACUAUUAUUAGGUUAUUACUAUUCUAUCUACCACCACUAAACUCUAUAAGUAUUUAAUGAUAAAAAUAUAGUAAACAUUAUUUCUAUAUUGUCAAUAGUAUUCUAGCUUUACUAUAUAUAUAUAUAUAUAUAUAUAGUCCAGCUAUGGUUCUUGUAAAAACACCAAGCACUAUAUAUAUAUAUAGUCCAGCUAUGGUUCUUGUAAAAACACCAAGCACUUGGUACUUAUAAGUUUUUUAUCCUUAGAUCUAUUCCUCGGAUCAUUUUCAACCAUUAAAUUAUACUAUUCAAUCAACCACCCACUCAACCCUAGGGUGCCCACAUCAUCCUAACCGUAUAUCUCUUAAUUCAAUGGCUAAAAAUCUACAAGCACUAAUAACUUGGUACUUUUAAAAGCAUAGGAGCUCAAUUAUAUAUAUAUAUAUAUAUAUAUAUAGUAACCUAUAUAUAUAUAUAUAUAUAAUAUAUAUAUGAGUUGGACUGGGCCUACUAUUCGGAUACAAAUCCCAUUGUUGCUUACCAGUUUUAGUUUUGGAUCAACUCAUUUUCAUUAUUUUAACCGUUGGAUUAAAUACUAUUAACCCAGUGGAUCGGUCAACCCUAGGGACCACCAACUCUAACCGACUAAUAUCAUACUGACCCUACAAUUUUUCAGUCCAAUGGCGUUAAAAACUUGCACUAGGCAAAAGAGUAUUUACUGUUAAUUAGUAUUCCAGCCUAUUCUAUAUAUAUCAUACUAUAUAUAUAUAGAGUGAGGCUACUAUGCUAUGGAAGCCACGGAGCCUGUGCCUAUGUGUCGGGCCGUUCCAGCUUGUUUUUCGAUGUUGCCGGCUUUCGAAUCGUCGAUGCCUCGUUUUAACUUGCGAUCUAGAGUAUUUGAAGUACCUAGAAAAAAAAAAAAAAAAAAAAUAAAAAAAAAAAACACAAAAAAAAAAAAAAAAAUAAAAAAAAAAAAAAAAAAAAAAAAAAAAAAAAAAAAAAAAAAAAAAUAAAAAAAAAAAAAAAAAAAAAAAAAAAAAAAAACAAUAAAUUUUAUGAUUUUACGAUAUCAUUUGCCUACGGUGAACGAGAGGGGCUCCAAAAUCACGGCUGAAAAUAAAAAAUUCUUUACAAAUUAAUAGUAUGACAUUUAAAAUUUUAAGAAUCAAUAGAUAUUGAUCUUGUGUUUAUAUCUAGCUAUUAAAGAAUUUUCUAUCAAAUUUUCACGUAAUUUGGAUAUUUUCUAUUACUUAACUUGCAAAACGGCUCACUACGGCACUUCGAAAUUUGUUGUUUUUGAUGCCCAUUCGAUCACUAGGCAAGAUGAAUAUCGAAAAUAACUAAAUUUAUUUUACUAGCGUAUCCAAACACUCAUAGAUCAAGUUUACAGAGCGACGGACGAAUCGAAGUGACGCAACCCGGCCCACCUCGAAAACGAGCUGAAGCACGGAAGGCUCCGUGCUUUGAUUAGCAUAGUACUCUCUACUAUAUAUUAUUAUAUAUAUAUUAUAUAUAUUAUAGACAGUUGAGCUGGAUGCUUCUGGAGCACGGAGCCUUCCGAUGCUUCAAAGUUGUUUGCGAUGUUGGGACUUUAAAUUGACGAUCGGCUCUUAAGCUAUUGAUUUUAUGAGUUUUUGAAUUACCUAGACAAAUAAAAUUUUGCUAAUUUUUCUAUAUCAUUUUGCUCGAUCGAAAGGAGGCUCAAAAUAAUAUUUUAAUGGUCUGUGGUGAGCCCGUUUGCAAGUUGUAAGCGGUUUGUAAAAUAUCCAAAUCACCGUGAAGAUUUUGAUAGAAAAUUCUUUUACUAAUAUAAAACAAAUCAAUACUUUAUAUCUAAAAUUUUAUAUCGUAUAUCAUAUUUUGUAAGAUUUUUAUUUCCAGGCCGGUUGAUUUUGCCCUUUGAUCACUAGCAAAUGAUAUCAAAAAUCACACAAAAUUUAUUUUCCUGGGACUCUCAAUAUCUUAGAUCAAGCUCUACGGCGAUUCGUCGAUUCGAAGAGUUCCGAACAUCGAAAAUAACUUGGAAGUUAUCGGAGCGACUCCGCUGCUCAAAGAUUCCAGUACAUAUUCCUAUAAUAUAUAUAUAUACUAUAAUGAUAUAGAGGGAGAGAGCCGCCGACCGCAGAGAGAGAGAUGGAGAGAGCUGAGAGAGAGAGGAUUGUUAGAGAGAAGAGAGAGAGGAGAGUCCAGCUAUAAGUUAGUUGUUAGCACCCCGCCAUUUGAUGCUAUCAAGUUUUCUGCCAUUAGAUCUAUCCUUUUAAUCAUUUUCACCUGUUAGAUCAUGCUAUUCAACCAAUCACCCACUUAACUCUAAGAAACCACUGUCAUCCUAACCGCAUAUUGCUUCAUCCAAAGGCCUAAAACUUAAUGACACCAAUGACUUUGUGCUAUUAAUAGUAUUCUAGCCUAGUUCCAUAUAUUUCUAUAUAUAUAUAGAAUUAGGCUUUGAGCUAGAAUAUUUUUAGUAGUAUUUGGAUUCUUUUACUACUAAAUUUAUAAUUGUUGGAUGAAAAAAUUAUGGGAUUGGGAUGAUAGUAAUUUUCUAGGAUUUAGUGGGUGGUUAGUAGAAUAAGAAGUGGAAUUGAUUAAAGGAUAAUGCUAAUAGUGGAAAACUUAAUAGCAUCAAAUACUUGGUGUUAUAAGAAGUUUCCCAACCAGAAUCUAUAUAUAGAUAGGAAUACUAUUAAUAGUAUUUGAAUUCUUUAGCUAUUUAGUUUUUAAUCCUUAUAUAAAAGAGAAAACUUCAAAUACCCCCCUGUGGUUUCGCACUUUUUUAUUUUAGUACCUUAUGGUUUAAAAUGUAUCAAGUUAGUACCCUGUGGUUUCGCACUUUCUCACUUUAGUACUUGAUAUUAUGGAAAUAAUGUUUACUAUCAACUUUUUGCAUUUCGAUGCCUAGGAGUUAGUAAAGAUUAGUGAAAUAGUAAUAAUUUAAGGGUGAAAAAGUUGAUAGUAAAUUCUAUUCAUAUACUAUUAAUAGGAACUAGGCUGGAAUACUAUUAAUAGCAUCAAUGACUUGGUGCUAUUAAGUUUUCUGUUCUUAGAUUAAAAGAUGUGCGGUUAGGAUGAUGUGGGCUUCCUAGGGUUGAGUGGAUGGUUGGUUGAAUAAUAUAAUCGAACGGAUAAAAAUGAUAAAAGAGAUAAAUCUAACGGCAGAAAACUUGAUAGCACCGAAUGCUUCGUACUAUCGAUAGUAUCCCAGCCGGACUCCUAUUAAUAGUAUAGCGAGUGAUCCCUCUCUCUUUGUACAUAUGUCAAAUUAUUUUUUAGGUAUAAACUCAUAAAACAUAUUUAAACUAUGAUCCAUUUUGAUUAAGCUAUCUAAUUUUUAAAAAUUUUUAUUUUACCGUCCAAUUUUUUAAUUUGUUUGAUUUGAGUCGGUCAAAGAUGUUUUGACUUUAGAAAUUCAAACUAAUUACUUAUUUUAAUAAAUUUAUAGUUGUGAAAAUUAUAUGGAACAUUCUAAUUAAAUAUGUAAAAAUAAAGGGCACACUCAAAUUUUUAAGCUAAAGCAUCGUUGACUGAUUUAAAUCAAACAAAUUGACAGUUGAAUAGUUUUGAAAAAUAUGAUAGAAAAAGAACUCAUUUUGAUCGUAGUGCUAAAAAAUUAAAUUUUAGAAUGACUCGUUAUUUCUCUGCAAAGCGCAUAAAAAUGUUCAUAAUAAGAAUUUCUAUCUUUUAAUUAGAGCGUAUUGCUUCGUUUCGACGUCUUUUGGAGUCCAACAAUAAUAUUCUUAUAGGGUGGUCGUCUAGAUAUAGUUCUUUUUCACAACGUAUUGAUAAAUUAGCUAAGUGGGCCUUGGUUCCCAGGUAGCUUCUAGUUGGUCUUCUUUCGCAGAGUUUGAGAAGUCUGUAACUCCUUAUCAUGUGGAAUAAAUGCCUUAUGGUGUUCUUUUCAAAAAAAAAAAAAGAAAAAAAAGAAUUUCUAUCUUUUAAAAUAAGUUACAAGAAACAUUACAGAAAUAAUUUUAACACUGUGAUGUAUAGAAGUAGUAAUGCUAGAUAAGAAGUAGUGAAUUAAUCUUUGAGGCAGCAUUUAAUUUGAGGAUUUUAAUAUCAGGGAUAUAAUGAAA
Molecule: long non-coding RNA, 66926 nt
Filed under: Ananas comosus (pineapple)
Lineage: Eukaryota; Viridiplantae; Streptophyta; Magnoliopsida; Poales; Bromeliaceae
Description: long non-coding RNA (ACOM_LNC015487)
Source: RNAcentral